Molecule: long non-coding RNA, 77750 nt
Filed under: Triticum aestivum (bread wheat)
Lineage: Eukaryota; Viridiplantae; Streptophyta; Magnoliopsida; Poales; Poaceae
Description: long non-coding RNA (TAES_LNC006035)
Source: RNAcentral
UUCGCGGAGCUCAAGGUGAAGGAGAUCAAGAACGGCCGCCUCGCCAUGUUCUCCAUGUUCGGCUUCUUCGUGCAGGCCAUCGUCACCGGCAAGGGCCCCCUCGAGAACCUCGCCGACCACCUCGCCGACCCCGUCAACAACAACGCCUGGGCCUUCGCCACCAACUUCGUCCCCGGCAAGUGAGCGCCGUCAGCUCAAGCUCUAGGCCGACAACUUCAUGGCUGAUGGAUGCUGCUGCAUGUGUGUCGUCGUCGAUCUCUGCUUCUUCCCGUUCUGAGAUUGAGUAGUCCGGACUGAUAGAUGUUGCAUGUGAGGGCGAGUCGAGAUGAGGAGUUGGUGUGUGUACACUACAAGAUGGUGUUUGUGUAAUAUCUGGCUAUUUUCUCAGAUUAAUCAAGGCAUCUCUGUUCUUCUGGUUAACUACUUGUCUCUCUGAACCUCUCAAUGUCAAACACUGAAGUUGUCUGAAUAAUUUUCUGAAAGUCCUAGCAGCUAAAGUAUUCAAAUUCAGAAAGACAUUUCAUACCAUCCAUAAUCCAUUUCAAGACUGAUCAACUCAACACUCCUGUAAAUACAACUUCCAUUUGUAUAUGUAACAAAAAUGCUCUCCAAAUCUGGGGUUUCCUGCGGUAAAAAAAGGAAAAGAAAAAUGGAAAGCUAGGACUAGUGCAACUUCCUUCUGAAGAAGAAAGUUACUGUUACUACGUACUGUGCUACCGGCCUUGCAGAACAGUCAUGGGAAUGGUGUUCCUGCUGUUCGUUUCUCUGGAUCUUCUCUUCCAUCAUUCCGUGGUACCCUGGUUGGUUAGGCGCCGGGAGAGACGCGGAUGCCACCACCGACGCGCUUCCGUUCUCCAAGAUUGACGCGGUGGGUCUUUUUGAUACCCAAACUCUUCUUUGGCGCCGGCGCCGGCGUGUGGGUGAUUUUCGGCGCUGAAAAGCCUGCGCCGGUCGGUCAUCGAUGGGGCGAGGGAAGGGGCCGGGCUAGCUAUUCCGGCCGGCCGGUCAGUCAUCGGUGACGGCGGCGGGGCGUGGCGGCUACGUCAGACAGGGUCAGUUUGAUUCGUGACCUGACCCUCAUGUUUGGAUGGCCAGUAUUGUUUGGUGUGGAUGUGAAAUGUAAAAUAUUUCUGCCUGGCUAGGCUUGUGUGAUCUGAAUCGUUUGGUUCAUGCCUGGACCAGGCAAAGCAUUAACGUCUCAUCAAUCAAUCCAUGUAGCAAUUAUUUAAUGUAAAUAUCCACCAGACUGUUGUUAUCCUCGUGGCCGCACGGCUAGGCGUUCGAAUUCGGUCGCCUGGGCAAGGCUAAUUGCAGUGCCUUGAGUCUAGCCAGGCUAAUUGCAAUGCAAAGGAAUCCAGGCCAGGCGGGCUUUUUUUUCAUAGGGUAGCAACCAAACAAGCUUGCAUGAAAUUCAGGCACAACUCCAAGCCAGGCAAAAGAUGCUUAGGUCGCAACCCAAACUGGCCCACAGUGCUGCGCGGGAAGUGCGAGAGGGAGAGACGCCAGACUUACUCGGCCACGUCGGGAGGGAGUAUAUUUAGGGAGAUUUAUGGAAAAAUACGGAGGUGGCGUAAGAUUUUUACUCCACUAAGACUUUUAAGGAUCUGUACUCUCUUAUGGCCUCUUAGGGGAUCGAGUAGAAAUGCCCUAGCAUGGUAAAGAUUUCAAUUCAGCAAGACAUUCUUAUGAUCCAUUUCAAGGCUGAUCAACUCAGCACUCCUGUAAAUACGUCUUUCAUUUCUCUCUGUGAUAAAUGCUCUACAAAUCUGGGGUUUUUUCCCCGGUAAAAAAUAAAUGGAACACUAGGACGAGUGCUGCUUCCCUGAAAAGGACUGCUGUACUACCGUCCCUGAAGAGCGGUCAUGGUCAUGGCGUUCCUGGUGUUCUCGAGAUCGCUACUCUGGCUCUUGUCUCCCAUCAUUUUAAGGUACCCUGGCUGGUUCGGCGCCGGAAGAGACGCGGAUGCCACCACCGGCGCGCUUCCAUUCUCCAAGAUGGACACGACGGACGACAUGAGCGGCCUCCUGCUCGGGUCGUCCUCGACGCAGAGGAGCCCGACGUGGAUGCAGAGCAUGGCCUCGUCCUGUGAACAGCUCUCUGCCAUGGAUGGAUCCACCAGCUUGCCUGCCUUCCCUUCCCUCCACAGGCUCCAUGCCUACAUGAAGCAAUCAAAUCAACCAUCUGUGUAUGCCUUUUGUAAAGAUGAAUAUGGAUUUGACCAUGACAUGGAGUGUGCUGCAAAAGGAAGUUAACUGCAAGUAUAUGGUUUGGCAUUGUCAGUUUUUCUUCAGGUGCUUACAUAGAUUGUCAAGCUAGGACACUCCAUGAUGCCGUCGAUUGCGCGUAUCCUGAUGCCGCUCACGAUCUCAAGCAGCAGCACGCCGAAGCUGUACACGUCGGACGUGACCGACAAGACGCCCUCCAUCGAGUACUCGGGAGCAAUGUAGCCACUGUCCACACAUUACUUUUUGGUCAGAAGAGGUUCCACAUUUUUCUUAAAACAAAAUUGUACUAUUUGUUAAAAAAAACUCAAAACAAGAAUAAUUUCUUUUUCUUUCCGGGUGUUGAGAUAACUCACUAUGUUCCGACGACUUUCCGGGUGUUGGCUUUCACCUGGUUGUCGCCGAAGAUCUUGGCCAUGCCGAAGUCGGCGAUCUUGGGGCGCAUCUCGGCGUCCAGCAAUACAUUGCUGGCCUUGAGGUCCCUGUGUAUCACCGUUAGCCUCGAGUCCUGGUGUAGGUAGAGCAGCAGCCGAGGAGGCGCACCAGGUUCCGGUGCUGCAGCUUGGCGAUUAGAAUGGCCUCAUUCUUGAACUCCUCUGCUCCCUGAUCCGAGUCCUUGCUCAGCCUCUUCACCGCGACGACCUGACCGCCAUCUAAUGUUCCCUUCCCAAUGGUAAAAGACACAAGUAAGAUUUUGAACUGCUUUUUAGCUGUUGAAAUUGUUUGACUGUAUUUUUGUAGUUCAAGGGACUGAAAGUUAGCAAAAGUGGAUAAAACGUGUAGUACUACCUUGUAGACCAUGCCGAACCCUCCGCGUCCGACCAUGAGUGUUUUGGAGAAGUUGUCCGUGGCGGCGACAAUGUCGGCGAACCGUAUGGACGGGAACUCAAGGUCUCCGUUGUGAUCUGCUCUGAUUUUGCUCGACGUGUUCGUGUUCUCAUAUUGGCUCUCGGCUUUUCUUCCCUUGGCUGUGAAAUUGGUGCUGUGAGCAUUUUUUUUGUGUGUGUGUGAAAGAAUGAUCGAGCAUCACAUGUUCAGAGUUAUUAAUAAUGAAAAAAAUGGAAGAAAAUACAACUGUACCUCUGAAUCUCCAGAACCAUACAAACAAAAUGCAUGUGAGCAGCAGGACGGAUGAUAACACCGGCAGGGCUGUCUUCACCCCCCUUCUGCUGGAGUUUCUACCUGUGUUGGGCAGGGCUAACACCGGCACUGCCAAAUUUGUUUGGUUUGAAUUCGGUAAAGAUUCAACAGAUAAAAGAUGGCAAAAGAAACAUAUGUUUCUGCUGUACCUGUGGAGGCAGCAGCAACGGGCACGCGGAGGUAGAGCGUCUCGCCGCCCCACCGCGCGCCCAUCAUCUGUGCGUCGACGAGCUCCUCCGCCCACACCACGCACUUGAUCAGUUGGCCAUCUGUGCUGCUGCUCUGCACGUUGGCGUACGCGUACGCCACACACGAGCAGGUUGCGGCGCACCUGGCCGCGCACUCCCCCGCGCUCCGGUUGGUGGAGUCGAUCGAGAACUUGUCCGGCACCUUCAUGCCCGGCAUCGCCACGAAACCUAUCCCGAUGCCGCCGCAUGGCGGCAGCGCCUGCUUUCGCCGGCACCCCUGCUCGAACCUGCCGGCGCUCCACUCCGCCGCGCUCGCCGGCUCGAAGCCGUCCAGGCACCUGCACGCCGCCGUGACGUCGCAGUACCCGUACGCGCCGCAGCCACUGUAUGUGCUGCACCCGCUCGACGGCCACGACUGGAGCGUGGCCCACGCCGACACGGUGCCGUUCCAGCUGAGGAGUUGGAACCUGCCGGAGCUUGUCACCACACACCGCGUCGGCGCCGCGCCGUCGGAGACGGUGAUGACCAUGGACAUCUCCUCGUCCGUGCGGACGAUCGCCGUGUAGAUUACUGUGCCGGCGCUGACGUACAUGCUGAUCACGGCGUAACUCCUCCAGAUGGGAGUUCGCCAGUAGGGGCGCGUCCCGUUCCACAUGAGCAGCUGCUGUGACGUGCUGGGGUCCAGGCCGUAGGAAAAGCGCCCCGGUGCCGGGUCGCCGGGGGAUCUCCAGGACACGAUGCGGUCGCCCUUGCCCGUCCGGUAGCUCAGCCGCAUCUUCAUCCCCGGCACGAACGUGUCCGUCGGGUGAUCGAAGCUCUGCCACACAACCGUGCCGUCCAAGAGCUGGAUGAGCAGGUUGCCGUCGUUCCCGAGCUCGGCUGGCGCCGUCUGCGAGGACGAGCUGCCCACGCCGGUCGUGUUCCAGAGCACGAGGCCGUCGGCGUCGGACAGGACGAGGCGGGAGUCGCUGGCCAGCGCGAGCGUCGGGGCGUCCCGGUUGGCCACCCAGAUGACGGUGCGAGGCCCGGGAAUGCCGUUGUACCAUAUCCCGAGAUACCGUCUCGCCGGACCGGCUGCGUCGUCUGGGGAGAAGUAGCCGAGAGCGAAGGCGCCACCGUCGGACACGAGGGACUGCCCGGCCAGGAGCUUCUCCCCCACGGCAAGCUGGUCCUUGGCCGACGCGCACAGCCGGAAGACGGCGACGACGAGGACGAGGACGGCAGAACGUGACAGGUCCAUGGAGGAUCAACUUCAAGGUGCCCCGCGGGUAACGAGAUCAUCACUUCAUCAGGAGACUUGAUUUUCUACUCCCGGCCGGGGGCACCUAAACAAAGAGAGCUAGCUAGCUACCGCCUUGACGUUUCUCUGGGCGGUACGUACGUACGAGAUCAUUCUUGUCCGCAAGGCGAUGUCGCCAUUGUACGUAGCUAACCUGUCGCCAUUGUAGCUAACCACACGGUGACGCUACUUUGCGAGUUUUUUAUUUUUUUGACAUGGCUACUUUGCGAGUUCAUAUUGACUAGUUUCAUCAUGCUAGUCUUAUAGUCUUAUUCUGCUAUCCUGUGUGUGCGCGUUUCACCUGCGCUAGUGCAUAAGAGCAUCUCCAAUAUCCAAUAGAUACGGGCUAACGCGACGCGUUAAAAAAAAUACAGCACCGAAAUAGCGCUUUUGCGCGCAGGAAAGAGCGUCUCCAACAGACGUGGUAAAAAAAAAAUACAGCGCCGAAAUAACGCUUUUGCGCGUGGGAGGUUUACCAGACGCACAAAACCACAGCGCCCAACCUGGCGGACCCAUGCGCAGCUGCCCGCGCGCUCAAGCCGGCGCCCCAAAUUUGCAGCUCCGCUGCCUGCGUGCACUAAAUUUGCAGAUUUGUUUUUGUGCGUGCUCUAUUUUACAGCUUCUACUGGAGCGUUAUUUUUGGUCACGCACGCGCUAUAUAGAAAUCUUUUUCAGCACGCGCCUUAUAUAGCGCGUCUGUUGGAGAUGCUCUAACUCGACCUACCUUGCCCAACAAUGACAGUUUUAUUUUUUAACACAUUAGAGCAUCUCCAACGGCCGCGUAAGGCGCGGCGCGCUAAAAAGGCGUUUACAAUGUCAGAAUUGUGAGUUUUUGCGCCGACGAGCACUUGCUCCGGCGGUCAUUGCAAAGUAUAGCGUGCUCGAGCUGCUCCAGCAGCCGCCGCAAAAAAACUGCAUGCACGCUUAUCACAAACAAUAUAUGCACUCCAAACACAACCAAGAAGAUCAAAAACAAACAAAGUAAAUCAACAAUAAAUAGUUUAAUUUUAUUACUACAACUCAAACAAAUAAUUUAUCUUGCAAUACAACAAAUAGUUCAACAAUACAACAUCAAUUUUCGGGAAAAAAAAUACAACAUCAAACAUACAAAUCAUGAUGCUCUUUGUCGGCCAUUCCAUGCCCACCACUCCUCGAUGAAAUCCUUCCGAAGAUCAUCAUGCGUUUCAGCAUGUCGAAUGGCACGAUAGGAGGCAACAAAUCGGGCCACCCUCGCAGCCCUCCGUCAUACUCGCACAGGAUGUCCCAAGAGCUCAUACUAAGAGUACUCUAAAUCUUGGCCACGCUCAUUCUCGAUGAUCAUGUUGUGCAUGAUCACACAAGCGUGCAUGAUGUACCAAAGCAUCUUUUGAUCCCAAAAUCUAGCCGGUCCUCUCACAACAGCAAAUUGGGCUUGCAAAAUCCCAAAAGCUCUCUCCACAUCUUUCCUAGCCGCUGCCUGAGCACUGUGAAAAUCAAGAUUUUUCUUACCUUCCGGUUUUUUCAAUGGCUUCACAAAUGUUUUUCACUUUGGGUAGAUGUCAUCCGCAAGAUAAUAGUCAUAGUUGUAUGUAUGGCCAUUUGCUACAAACUGUACCGGUGGCAGUUCACCAUUUGCAAUCUUAUUCAUGAGUGGUGACCGAUUAACAACGUUGAUGUCAUUCAAAGAUCCAGGCAUUCCAAAAAAGCAUGCCAAAUCCAAGUGUCUUGAUCGGCCAUCACUUCAAGGAUUAUAGUGGAACCCUUUUUUGGCUGUGUAAUUGCCCAUGCCAUGCCUUAGGACAAUUCUUCCAACUCUAAUGCAUGCAAUCUAUUGAGCGAAGCAUAUCUGGGAAUCCGCGAGCUUUGUUCAUCUCCAAAAGCCUUGCGGCGUCUUCAGCAUUGGGAGAUCUCAAAUACUCCUGGCGAAACACUUGCACAAUUCCGACUGCGAAGCGCUUGACACACAUGAUGGCUUGACUCUCACCCAUGGCCAAGUGGUCAUCAACUAGAUCAGCCGGAAUACCGUAUGCCAACAUACGCAAAGCGGCUGUCACCUUCUGAAUGGUGCUAUGCCCGAGCUCUCCGGUGGCAUUCCUCCUUUGUUGAAAAGACCGACCAUGGCUCGCCAGUUUCUCUGCAAUGCGCCUGAACAACUCGGUGCUCAUCAUAAACAGUCGCCGGAAGUACGACUCGGGGUACAUGGGAUUAUCCAAAAAAUAGCGCCCCAUCAAUAUGUUGUCGGCAUCGAUUUUAUCCCUCCAAAUUUUCUUCCGACCCAUAACCGAACCACCGUGCUUCGAUUUUUUACUGAUGUGCAUAGCUAGGAUCAUUGUAAGAUGGGUUAAUUAUCCUUUUGCCCUCGGUGGUGUCCAUGUGCUCAGUUUUGCCCUCAGAUGCGAAUUGUGCUCAGUUUUGCCCCUAGACCAUGCACAACUACUAUGACGAGGCCAAACAACCAUAUUUGAGUCCAUUCCGUCCACCGGCGUCAGUGGUUGUGGGUCCGGAGCUUACACGUGGGACCGCGUGGACGUGGGUCCGGAGCUGACAUGUAGGCCCGUGCAACUAAAUCCCCAAAUCAUUCGUAGGAUUCUAGCCCACUCUGCCCAUCCGCCGGCCGGCUGCCCUGCGCCACGGCCAGUACCUGCCCCGCCACCAGCUGCACGGCCUGCUCCGUCGUUACUGUCCUACACCUACGCUCCACGGCUACCUGCGACGCCCGCCACCUCCCUGCGAUGCCACGGGUGGGGCGCCCGCCACCUGCUGGACCCACGGUGCGGCCUCCUUCCAUGCGCCCGGGCGGAGCGCUCAAAGGUGGGGGGCUGCUGGAGCUGUUUGAACUAGGAGGAAGAACCCUAGGGCGAAAUGGCGAGCAGCGGCGACCCCGGAGUAUUUGGCGAGGUAGGCAUCGGGCCAGAGAUCCGCCGCGUCCACGAGUGGGUUCCCGAGGGGUAAGUCUCGCCUCCUGUUUAGAUUGAGCUUAGUUGUGCAUUUGAACACUCAAGUCGAGUAAGUUUGCCCAAUUAGUGUGCUUAUUGCGUCUCUGCUUUUCGUCGGUUAGGAUGGAGUUGCGGUUUGCUUUCUUGGUGCACAUUAGAAGGGACCGGUACAUGUUCGAUGCAAAGGAUAAGAAGAAAAUACCAAGGAGGUUCCGAUUAUCGGUUGCCAAUGGCUAGUAAUUGGAGUUUCAGACAAUUUGAGGAGGUAAUUUGUAGCCAGAAAGGUUAGUAAUGAUGAAGAGCUGGCUACCAUGCUUGCUAGGCAUAAAGAGAAAGAUAAUUUUCAUGUGAGGCUGCAAGUUGAUGUGCUUGAGUAGGCAUUUUGACCUAGGAUGACGGGUGCAACAUAUCGGGGAGAACCAAGUCGUCGUAAUGACAUCUCUAGCCAGAACAAUUCAGUUGGUGCACGGCGACGUGGUGGCUCGACGAGUGUGGGAAAUAGCAGUAGGGUCCCCCGUGAAGUGGAGCUUGAUGACUACAAUUCUGGGGUUGAUGAAGAGAAGCUAUAUUCUGAUGUUAUUCGGAAUUUAUGACAGGCACCUCGGGCUGAAAACCACGAUGAGGCUCACAAUGCAGUCCGUGUGGAUGAUGACGCGGUGGGUGAGGACGAAGACCUUGCAGCUGUUGAAUGGGACCCUUUGAACCCUCAUAUGGAAGAAGGUACAAUUUUUGCAUCCAUGAAUGAGUGUAGAAAUGCACUUGUGACAUACUGCAUCAAGGUAGAACGUACUUUCAAAGUUGACAAGAGCGAUCAAGUACGUUACAGAGUGCACUGUCCGACUGAGGGUUGUCCAUGAAGGCUGCUCGCAUCUAAAAUGCGAAAUAGCACUAAUGUUCAGGUCAAAGUGAACCCUUUUAAGCACACAUACCAGGAAUCAAUCCUUAGGAAGGAUACAAUCAGUAGAGCCAAGUCAAGAUGGGUGGCAGAAGAAGUAAAGAAGUGGGUGAAAGAAAACCAUCAAGUGGGUCCAAAGGAAUUGCAGAAGAACAUCAAAGAUAAGUUCAAGAUAGAUUUACCAUACAUGAGGUUGUUCAAUGGUAAACAACAUGCUAUGGAUUCUAUUUAUGGUAACUAGCAGGAAAGUUUUCAAUCGUUGUAUUCAUUCAAAGGUGAAGUGGAGAGGACAAGCCCAGGUAGUAUUGUAGAUAUUGAUCACCACACCGUGGAGUACACAUUCAGGGGAGUGACAAAGACCAAGGAAUGCUUUAGGAGGGUUUUUGUCUGCUUUGAGGCUUGUCGCCGGGGUUUUUUGGCAGGUUGCAGGCCUUAUUUGGCUAUUGAUGUCACUUUUCUCACGGGGAGGUUUAAAUGACAGUUAGUAGCAGCUUGUGCAGUUGAUGCACACAGUUUUGUAUUUCUAGUUGCCUACGGUGUGCUGGAGACAGAGUCUGAGGAGAGCUGGACUUGGUUUUUGCAUAAUCUGCGUCGGGCUAUUGCACAUCCAAAUGGGUUGGUCAUUCAUACAGAUGCCUGCAAAGGUUUAGAAGUGGUCGUGGACAAUGUGUUCCCUGGAGUAGAGCAUAGGGAAUGCAUGUGUCACGUUGCUGCAAAUUUCAUGAAGAAAUUCAAAGGAAAGGUGCAUACCGAUAAUUUAUGGCCAACAUCUUUGACUUGCAGUGUGAAGAAGCACAACUACCACUUGAGGAAGUUAUACAUGAAUCCCAAAGUGAAAGAAUACUUGGAAACACACCACUCCAAGUUAUGGGCCAGAAGCCAAUUCAGUGAACUGAGCAAAGUUGACUAUGUGCACAAUAAUCUAGCAGAGUCUUUCAACUCAACGAUCCGGAAACUAAAGUGUCAUUAUGUGGUGGAUUUGCUUAAUAGGAUAAGGAUAGAAUACAUGCAAAGAUUUCAUUAUCGUGCAGGAAUAACCGAGGCAAAAUUCAUGGGCCACAUUAUCAUCCCUGCCGUGAUGAAUGAACUGAAGCAGAAAACAACAGGCUUGGAAAUGAACAUGACUCUUUGCUCAGAUACCACAGCAGAGAUAUCAUAUUUGGAUAAAGAGAAGAGGGAAUGGAGAUAUCCAAUGGAUUUAGAAGCUAGAACUUGCAGUUGUAGGCAAUGGCAGAUAACUGGGUUGCCAUGAAUUUAUGCCUUGUUUUUCACCACUUCUCUCCCAGGUCCAGUAGGGAACAUACAACAGUAUGUGCAUGAUUACUACUUUGUUGCAAGGUUCAAAGCCACAUAUGCUUAUGCCUUGCCUGCUAUGGAGGGAAAACAACAAUGGAACAUGAUGGACCCUGGAUUCAAGCUUUGCGCUCCAAUUCUGAAGAGAGCAGCAGGUAGACCAAGGAAGAGUGGAAUCAGACCUCGCAGCGAAGGAGCUGGACUUGGAGUGAGGAAGCGUAAGUGCACAAGGUGUGAUGGGUCUGGUCAUUUUGGUAAGUAUUGUGAUAACCCAGUAGAUCCAGCGUUUGGAGAGAGUUUCGAUGAAGGCUUCGAUGAAAAUAUUGGUCAGCAGCCGGUUGCCUCAACAGAUGAUGAAAAUGAUGGUCAACAACCGGUUGCAUCAGAUGAGUAUUUUGACGAGGUUCCAAAUGAUGAUGGCCAACAGCCGCAUGAUUUUGACGAUGAUCCAAAAUAUUCUCCAAAUAAUGAUUCAAGUGAGGCUCCAAAUGAUGAUCCAAGUGAAGCUCCAAAUGGUGAUCAUGGUGAUCCAAGUGAGGCUCCAAAUGGUGAUCAUGGUGAUCCAAGUGAGGCUCCAAAUGAUGAUCCAAGUGAGGCUCCAAAUGGUGGCCAACCUUCUGUUGUUGUGAGUUCUGCUAGGUAUGUAAAUCUUGCAAGGGUCAAAUAGUACUAUACAUUUAUCACUUGACAUGAUCUCAUUAUCCUUUAUGUUUUGCACAGCUCUAUGAUAGGUUUGAAGAAGACGCACAAGGUACCGACAACCAAGAGGAGAAGAGAAGAAGAAAUGAGCACAAGGUGCACGAGAAGCAAAGUGAUGGCAAGAAGCUCAAGGAACAGACAGAAGCCCCACCGCUACUUAUGAAUAAUUAUGAAACAUUAUAAAUAAUAUUGUAUUUCUGUUGGAUGAUGUUGGACCUAUAUUAGAACUAUGUUUGACAUGAUGUUUAAAUCUGUUGGAUGACGUUUGAAUGAGCACAUGAUUUUUUCUUUUUUUGAAUUUUGUUUUGCUCAUUUGAAUUCUGGUCAAACCUAACUUUGACCAAGAUUUAAACAAGUCUAAAACAUCAAAAUGAAAAGCUAAGCCUGGAUCCUUCUUAGUCAAUCCAAAAUGAAGCUGUGGUGAGGUUUUUGAAAUUUUCAUGAAAAAUAUGCUAAAAAGAGGGGUCCAAAGGUAGGGUAAACGGCCUCAUUUCUAAGCAAGGUUUUUUUCGACCUUGUCUAAAUCAGCCAAAUAACUUUCCUACACAUAUAUUCUAUAUAUACAGACUAUGUGCGCUAGUUUUUCCAUUUUUUUGAUUUCUUUUUAAUUUGUUUUGCUCAUUUCAAUUCUGGUCAAACUUAACUUUGACCAAGAUUUAAACAAGUGUAAAACAUCAAAAUGAAAAACUAAGCCUGGAUCCUUCUUAGUCACUCCAAAAUGAAGUUGUGGUGAGUUUUUUUAAAAUUUUCAUGUUCAUUUCCCCAAAACACUUCUCUUCACUUCAUACAAGAGAGUUUGAGAUACUCGAGAUAUCACACAAUACACAUGAACUUAUCGUUUAAAUGUAUGUAAACCUUGUUUAUCAACUUAAAUCGUUAGUAUAUGACAUAAAAAGACUAUGUGCGCAUGUUUUUUAUUUUUAUGAUUUUUAUUUAAUUUAUUAUGCUCAUUUGAAAUCUGGUCAAACAUGGCUUUGACUGCUCCAAACACCUCCCAAACCCCGCUAACCCUAGCGUUGAACAAGGACCGUCCAUCUAACCCUAGCGACGAUCAAGGGUCGUCGAUCUAACCCUUCUAGAAGGAAUCUGCGGGGAGGAGGGGGGCGAUCCGCGAGAUGCAAUCUGAUUGGCUGGGAGAUUGUUUUUUUAAAACAAAUACCGGACGCGUUGGAUGGACCAUUGGGCCGUCUUGUUGCCUGGGCCUGAGACCGCAGUAAAUAGCCUGUCUCAGCCUUUCCAGGCCUUGCAUGCAUGGGAGGCGGCGACGUGGGUUUGCAUGCACGGGAGACGGACGUGCAUGCAUGCGAGCAAGGCCAGCGAGGCACGCUAGGCGGGCUAGGCUAGCGAGGCGAGCUAGGUGGCCAUGCACGUAUUGAUUCAGAGUUAGGCAUUACGGCAGUGGUUCAGGGUAGCGAGUCAAAUGCACCACCCGGUCAAAGAGCUAUGCAGUGAUUCAGAUGCACGCACGCGUCCCAUGCAUCGUUUUCGUGCAAAAAUGAAAGAGUGCAAAACGUAACGGAUACACACACACGUCCGGAUUCACAUACGCACCGUUCUCAUCCUUUCUCUCUUCCUCUCCCACCCACAGGCCUAUAAAUGGGGUGCCUUUCUUCCUCUCUCACCCACAAGCCAGAUCCGAUCCAUUCUCUCCAACUUCAAACACCCAAGCGACCGAGCCCUCCCCAAGCGAGACCAAGUAAAUAUGCAGUUCAACGGGCCGACCUUUAACCGUCCGCCUGUCAUGCCGGAGCUGUGCUAUCCACCGGGCGUGCUCGUGGAGACGGAGCUUCGUGUGCGGGCUAUUUCAAGGUGGAGGGGUUCCGUCGAACUCACCCGCGCCUUCCUCAGAGCCGGCUAUGCCCACCUCCCACGGGGCUCGCCUAGGAUGUUCACCCUCAACGAGGUUCGUGACUACGGCGACAUCCUCCUACUUCCACUAGUAGAAAAAGGACCUAAUGUGAGACACAUUUGUCCCGGUUCGAUUUUGGCCCGAUACUAAUGGCAUCAUUAGUGCCGAUUCGAACGGCUAUGCAUUAAUGUUGGUUCGUGUUGAACCUUUAGUACCGGUUCGUGCCACGAACCGGUGCUAAAGGGGUGGUGGCAGGCUGGCGUCAGGCCGGGGCCACAUGAUCACCUUUAGUACCAGUUCGUGGCACAAACCGGUACUAAAGGGCUAACCUUUAGUACCUGUUCGUGCCAUGAACCGGGACUAAAGGGGUCUGACCUAUAGUCCUGGUUGGAGACACAAACCGGGACUAUAGGGCAAUUUUCAAACUCUACCCCCCGGUGUAUUGCCAUUUCAAUUUUGAAAAAAUCAAAAGAAAAUGAUAAAAACUUCAGAAAAUAAAAUCCUUCGAGAGGUAGUUAUAUUACUACACCUACUAGUUAUGAAAAUUUGAAAACUUAAAUUUGGACAUGUUUUGCAAAAAGUGUAGGGAAAAUGUAAAACGGCUAUAACUUUUGCAUACGAUGUCAGAAAAAAACGUAUAAUAUAUCAAAAAAUUCAGCAUGAAAAUCCGCAUCCGUUUUUGACCACCUAUGACCUGUUUGCAAUUUUUUAGAAUCCUCAAAUUCCAAAGGAAAAAAAGAUAUGCUCAAAUUUCAGUUUUUUAAUUUUGGUCAAACUAUGGUCAAACUACUUAUUCAAGAAGUAUUAAUGUUACUACAUAAUUAUUCAAGAAUAUUAGUGUUACUAAAUAAUUAUUUCAAUUUUUUGAAUUUUGGUCAAAUCUGGUCAAACUAUGGUCAAACUAUGGUCAAACUAUGGUCAAACUUAUUCAAGAAAUAUUAGUGUUACUAAAUAAUUAAUGUUUUUUAGAAUAAUAGUUUCAAACUCAAAUGGUGAGAGUGACCUAAUGCUCAAGCUAAACUACUGAGGGUUAAUAGGAUUGACAACUUACAUUUGUCAGGAAAACAACAAGUGCAGACUUGGAAAGUAGGGAAAUAGAACUCCGAAGUUAAGCGUGCUCAGGCUGGGAGAGUGAGAGGAUGGGUGACCGACCGGGAAGUUAGACGAUUUGGAAUGAGUGAUCCACACUUGAGCAGUUAAGAGGGGUGAUUAGAGACUAAAUCAUCAAAUAAUUCAAUUCAAAAAAUUAAAAAUAAAAAAAAUCCAAAAUUCUCAAAAAAAAUCAAAAAAAAAUCUUUAGUACCGGUUGGUAACACCAAUCGUCCCCCAUGCCACGGUGCGAGCUCACGCCACAUGGUGGACCUUUAGUGUCGGUUCGUGCCGAACUGGUACUAAGGGGGGGGGCUUUUAGUGCCCACACUUUAGUGCCAGUUACAAAACCGGCACUAAAGGCCCUUACGAACCGGUUUAAAGCUCCGUUUUCUACUAGUGUGCUCACGGUCACCUUCACCAACCAGUUUGACGCGUGCGAGCUCCUCGGCCAAGUCUUUUGGUGCGGCUGUGAGGCCAUCUUCUUCACCAUGUACAACAUUUACACGAACUACGAGAGCAUCUUCACCACUCCAGGCCAGAUGCACUCCCUUCCCUACGACGAGGAGGUGGAGGUGUGAAGAUGAAGACGGUGUUGAAGGGGCGCGCGGCCAAGGUGGAAGAAGGAGGUCAAGAUGAAGAUGUUCAAGCCCGGAGUCAAGCUCGUCAUUUUUCGUUUUUAUUUUGUUGCUUUUCUAUGUCGUGUCGUGUCAUGUUUCGUCAUGUGUCCGUGAACUUAUUAUUAUUGCUUAAUGUAAGGGUACAGUGUGUUGCAUCUUAUCUAAGUUAUUAGAGUUUAUUAUGUGUGUUAAAAAAUGCCCGUGCCCAAACAUAUCAUUUCUUUCCUAAACCAAGUCAUGAAGUUCGAGAACUUGUGGUUUUCAUUAAUGAAAAUCGGAGGGGGUGAGAAGCCCUCUCUUUCAUUCAGAAAAAAACAAGUCAUGAACUAACAUGCAAAUUUAUUCCCUUUAAAUCCUAAACCAAGUGCCACUCUAACCAAAAUCAUGUGGCAGUGCAAACAUACGUUUUCAACCUUCCAACCCUCCAAAAACAAAAUAAAGGAAAACCACUCUCACGCGUGUGCAAACAUUCACGGUCUCACUAUGUAUACCUUCAUUCCCUACCCAUGUCAAUGUCUUUCCAUCUGUCCUAGCGGUUACCAGCGCAGCCCUAAACGCCAGAAACCCAUGUGGUCCUGGGUUCGAGUCCCCAGCUGCAUUAUUUUUUUCUCAAUGUAAUGCCCUUAAAAAUGUUCAUUUAUUUUGGCACCAGGUGUAAACCUCUACCAGAGCUGAGGCACAUUUUCCAUGACAUUUUGGUCUUUGAUUUAAAUCAUGGAGUAAUUAAAUUGCUAUUAAAUAUUUAACAGCUCCAAAAAAAUUCUAACCUUAAUUGUUUGGCUCUGGAAUAAUUCAAUUAGCUUCCACAAAAUGUUUCAGCAUUAUGAUUUACUUCCUAAAUUAAAUCAGAAUAGAAAACAGAAAAACACGCAAUAGAACCCCCGAAUGGGCCUAAUUGGAUAUAGUUGGCCCAUUAGUCUAGCCUGCACUUGGCUCUACGCUCUGAAUUUGGCCCAAGAGCUGAAGGAAAUAUGCCCUAGAGGCAAUAAUAAAGUUAUUAUUUAUUUCCUUAUAAUCAUGAUAAAUGUUUAUUAUUCAUGCUAGAAUUAUAUUAACCGGAAACAUAAUACAUGUGUGAAUACAUAGACAAACUUAGUGUCACUAGUAUGCCUCUACUUGACUAGCUCGUUAAUCAAAGAUGGUUAUGUUUCCUAACCAUGAACAAAGUGUUUUUAUUUGAUUAACGGGAUCACAUCAUUAAGAGAAUGAUCUGAUUGACAUGACCCAUUCCAUUAGCUUAGCACCCGAUCGUUUAGUAUGUUGCUAUUGCUUUCUUCAUGACUUAUACAUGUUCCUAUAACUAUGAGAUUAUGCAACUCCCGUUUGCCGGAGGAACACUUUGGGUGCUACCAAACGUCACAACGUAACUGGGUGAUUAUAAAGGAGCAUUACAGGUGUCUCCAAAGGUAGAUGUUGGGUUGGCGUAUUUCGAGAUUAGGAUUUGUCACUCCGAUUGUCGGAGAGGUAUCUCUGGGCCCUCUCGGUAAUGCACAUCACAUAAGCCUUGCAAGCAUUGCAACUAAUGAGGUAGUUGCGAGAUGAUGUAUUACGGAACGAGUAAAGAGACUUGCCGGUAACGAGAUUGAACUAGGUAUUGGAAUACCGACGAUCGAAUCUCGGGCAAGUAACAUACCGAUGACAAAGGGAACAACGUAUGUUGUUAUGCGGUCUGACCGAUAAAGAUCUUCGUAGAAUAUGUAGGAGCCAAUAUGGGCAUCCAGGUCCCGCUAUUGGUUAUUGACCGGAGACGUGUCUCGGUCAUGUCUACAUUGUUCUCGAACCCGUAGGGUCCGCACGCUUAAGGUUACGAUGACAGUUAUAUUAUGAGUUUAUGCAUUUUGAUGUACCGAAGGUUGUUCGGAGUCCCGGAUGUGAUCAAGGACAUGACGAGGAGUCUCGAAAUGGUCGAGACAUAAAUAUUGAUAUAUUGGAAGCCUAUGUUUGGAUAUCGGAAGUGUUCCGGGUGAAAUCGGGAUUUUACCGGAGUACCGGGAAGGUUAUCGGAACCCCCCCGGGAGUUAAAUGGGCCAUGAUGGGCCUUAGUGGAAAAGAGAAGAGGCAGCCCUACAUGGGCUGCGCGCCUCCCCCUUCCCCUAGUCCUAUUAGGACUAGGAGAGGUGGCCGGCCCCCUCCCUCUCUUUUCCCCCUCCACGAAUCCUAUUCCAACUAGGAUUGGGGGGGGGGAUCCUACUCCUAGAGGGAGUAGGACUCUCCUGGCGCGCCACACCUUGGCCGGCCAGCCUCCCCCCUCUAGUCCUUUUAUAUACUGAGGCAGAGGCACCCUAGAACACACAAGUUGAUCCACGUGAUCUAUUCCUUAGCCGUGUGCGGUGCCCCCAGCCACCAUAUUCCUCGAUAAUACUGUAGCGGAGUUUAGGCGAAGCCCUGCUGCUGUAGUGCAUCAAGAUCGUCACCACGCCGUCGUGCUGACGGAACUCUUCCCCGACACUUUGCUGGAUCGGAGUUCGGGGAUCGUCAUCGAGCUGAACGUGUGCUCGAACUCGGAGGUGCCGUAGUUUCGGUACUUGAUCGGUUGGAUCGUGAAGACGUACGACUACUUCCUCUAUGUUGCGUCAACGCUUCCGCAGUCGGUCUGCGUGGGUACGUAGACAACACUCUCCCCUCUCGUUGCUAUGCAUCACAUGAUCUUGCGUGUGCGUAGGAAUUUUUUUGAAAUUACUAUGAAACCCGACAGUGGCAUCCGAGCCUAGGUUAUUUAUGUUGAUGUUAUAUGCACGAGUAGAACACAAGUGAGUUAUGGGCGAUAUAAGUCAUACUGCCUACCAGCAUGUCAUACUUUGGUUCGGCGGCAUUGUUGGACGAGACGACCCGGACCAACAUUACGCGUACGCUUACGCGAGACCGGUUCCCCCGACAUGCUUUGCACAUAAAUGGCUUGCGGGCGACUGUCUCUCCAACUUUAGUUGAACCAAGUAUGGCUACGCCCGGUCCUUGCGAAGGUUAAAACGGAGUCUAUUUGACAAACUAUCGUUGUGGUUUUGAUGCGUAGGUGAGAUUGGUUCUUGCUUAAGCCUGUAGCAGCCACGUAAAACUUGCAACAACAAAGUAGAGGACGUCUAACUUGUUUUUGCAGGGCAUGUUGUGAUGUGAUAUGGUCAAGGCAUGAUGCUGAAUUUUAUUGUAUGAGAUGAUCAUGUUUUGUCACCGAGUUAUCGACAACUGGCAGGAGCCAUAUGGUUGUCGCUUUAUUGUAUGCAAUGCAAUCGCGAUGUAAUGCUUUACUUUAUCACUAAGCGGUAGCGAUAGUCGUGGAAGCAUAAGAUUGGUGAGACGACAACGAUGCUACGAUGGAGAUCAAGGUGUCGCGCCGGUGACGUUGGUAAUCAUGACGGUGCUUCGGAGAUGGAGAUCACAAGCACAAGAUGAUGAUGGCCAUAUCAUAUCACUUAUAUUGAUUGCAUGUGAUGUUUAUCCUUUUAUGCAUCUUAUCUUGCUUUGAUUGAUGGUAGCAUUAUAAGAUGAUCUCUCACUAAAUUAUCAAGAAGUGUUCUCCCUGAGUAUGCACCGUUGCGAAAGUUCUUCGUGCUGAGACACCACGUGAUGAUUGGGUGUGAUAGGUUCUACGUUCAAAUACAAUGGGUGCAAAACAGUUGCACACGCGGAAUACUCAGGUUAUACUUGACGAGCCAAGCAUAUACAGAUAUGGCCUCGGAACACGGAGACCGAAAGGUCAAGCGUGAAUCAUAUAGUAUAUAUGAUCAACAUAACGAUGUUCACCAUUGAAAACUACUCCAUCUCACGUGAUGAUCGGUUAUGGUUUAGUUAAUUUGGAUCACGUAAUCACUUAGAGGAUUAGAGGGAUGUCUAUCUAAGUGGGAGUUCUUAAGUAAUAUGAUUAAUUGAACUUAAAUUUAUCAUGAACUUAGUCCCUGAUAGUAUCUUGCUUGUUUAUGUUGAUUGUAGAUAGAUGGCUCAUGCUGUUGUUCCGUUGAAUUUUAAUGCGUUCCUUGAGAAAGCAAAGUUGAAAGAUGAUGGUAGCAAUUACACGGACUGGGUCCGUAACUUGAGGAUUAUCCUCAUUGUUGCACAGAAGAAUUACGUCCUGGAAGCACCGCUGGGUGCCAGGCCUGCUACAGGAGCAACGCCGGAUGUUAUGAACGUCUGGCAGAGCAAAGCUGAUGACUACUUGAUAGUUCAGGUGCCAUGCUUUACGGCUUAGAAUCGGGACUUCAACGACGUUUUGAACGUCAUAGAGCAUAUGAGAUGUUCCAGGAGUUGAAGUUAAUAUUUCAAGCAAAUGCCCGGAUUGAGAGAUAUGAAGUCUCCAAUAAAUUCUAUAGCUGCAAGAUGGAGGAGAACAGUUCUGUCAGUGAGCAUAUACUCAAAAUGUCUGGAUAUAACAAUCACUUGAUUCAAUUGGGAGUUAAUCUUCCAGAUGAUUGCGUCAUUGACAGAAUUCUUCAAUCACUGCCACCAAGCUACAAGAGCUUCGUGAUGAACUAUAAUAUGCAAGGGAUGAACAAGACUAUUCCCGAGCUCUUCGCGAUGCUAUAAGCUGCGGAGGUAGAAAUCAAGAAGGAGCAUCAAGUGUUGAUGGUCAACAAGACCACUAGUUUCAAGAAAAAGGGCAAAGGAAAGAAGAAGGGGAACUUCAAGAAGAACGGAAAGCCAGUUGCAGCUCAAGAGAAGAAACCCAAGUCUGGACCUAAGCCUGAAACUGAGUGCUUUUAUUGCAAGCAGACUGGCCACUGGAAGCGGAACUGCCCCAAGUAUUUGGCGGAUAAGAACGAUGGCAAGGUGAACAAAGGUAUAUGUGAUAUACAUGUUAUUCAUGUUGAGGAACGUUGCAGAAAAUUAAAAAUUUUCCUACGGUUUCACCAAGAUCCAUCUAUGAGUUCAUCUAAGCAACGAGUCAAGGGAGAGAGUUAGCAUCUACAUACCACUUGUAGAUCGCGUGCGGAAGCUUGCAAGGUGAUGAUGUAGUCGUACUCGACGUGAUUUGAAUCACCGAUGACCAAGUGCUGAACGGACAGCACCUCCGUGUUCAACACACGUACGGGACGGGAGACGUCUCCUCCUUCUUGAUCCAGCAAGGGGGAAGGAGAGGUUGAGGAAGACAGCUCCACCGGCAGCACGACGGCGUGGUGAUGGUGGAGAGGCAGUACUCCGACAGGGCUUCGCCAAGCACACAACGGAGGAGGAGAGGUGUUGGGGAGGGGAGGGCUGCGCCUUGGAGGGUGGUGCGGCUGCCCUCCCCUCACCCCUCUAUUUAUAGGGGGAAGGGAGAAGGGGGCCGGCCCCCUAGAACCCAUCUAGGGGGGGUGCGGCGGCCUAGGGGAGAGGGGAGAGGGUGGCUUGCCCCCCAAGCCAAGGGGGCGCCCCCUCUAGGGUUCCCCCCUCAACCCUAGGCGCAUGGGCCCAAGGGAGGGGGUGCGGCCAGCCCACCAGGGGCUGGCUUCCUGCCCCACGCAGCCCAUGUGGCCCCCCGGGAGGGGUGGCCCCUCCCGGUGGACCCCCGGAACCCUUCCGGUGGCCCCGGCACAAUACCGGUAUGACCCCGAAACUUCCCGGUGUCCGUUUGACAACUUCCCAUAUAUAAAUCUUUACCUCCGGACCCUUACGGAUCUCCUCGUGACGUCCAGGAUCCCAUCCGGGACUCCGAACAACAUUCGGUAGUCACAUACUAGUCUUCCUAAUAACCCUAGCAUCACCGAACCUUAAGUGUGUAGACCCUACGGGUUCGGGAGACAUGCAGACAUGACCGAGACGCUCUCAGUCAAUAACCAACAGCGGGAUCUGGAUACCCAUGAUGGCUCCCACAUGAUCCUCGAUGUUGUCAUCGGAUGAACCACGAUGUCGAGGAUUCGAUCAAACCCUGUAUGCAAUUCCCUUUGUCAAUCGGUACGUUACUUGCCCGAGACUCGAUCGUCGGUAUCCCAAUACCUUGUUCAGUCUCGUUACCGGCAAGUCACUUUACUCGUACCGUAAUGCAUGAUCCCGUGUCCAACACCUUGGUCACAUUGAGCUCAUUAUGAUGAUGCAUUACCGAGUGGGCCCAGAGAUACCUCUCCGUCAUACGGAGUGACAAAUCCCAGUCUCGAUCCGUGUCAACCCAACAGAUACUUUCGGAGAUACCUGUAAUGCACCUUUAUAGUCACCCAGUUACGUUGUGACGUUUGAUACACCCAAGGCACUCUUACGGUAUCCGGGAGUUACACGAUCUCAUGGUCGAAGGAAGAGAUACUUGACACUGGCAAAGCUCUAGCAAAACGAACUACACGAUCUUUUAUGCUAUGCUUAGGAUUGGGUCUUGUCCAUCACAUCAUUCUCCUAAUGAUGUGAUCCCGUUAUCAACGACAUCCAAUGUCCAUAGUCAGGAAACCAUGACUAUCUGUUGAUCACAACGAGCUAGUCAACUAGAGGCUCACCAGGGACAUAUUGUGGUCUAAGUAUUCACACGUGUAUUACGAUUUCCGGAUAAUACAGUUAUAGCAUGAAUAAAAGACAUUUAUCAUGAAAAAUGAAAUAUAAUAAUACUUUUAUUAUUGCCUCUAGGGCAUAUUUCCAACAGCUCCCACUUGCACUAGAGUCACCAAUCUAGUUACAUUGUGAUGAAUCGAACACCCAUAGAGUUCUGGUGUUGAUCAUGUUUUGCACGCGAGAGAGGUUUAGUCAGCGGAUCUGCGACAUUCAGAUCCGUGUGCACUUUGCAAAUCUCUAUGUCUCCAUCUUGAACAUUUUCACGGAUGGAGUUGAAACGACGUUUGAUGUGCCUGGUCUUCUUGUGAAACCUGGGCUCCUUGGCGAGGGCAAUAGCUCCAGUGUUGUCACAGAAGAGUUUGAUCGGCCCCGACGCAUUGGGUAUGACUCCUAGGUCGGUGAUGAACUCCUUCACCCAAAUCGCUUCAUGCACUGCCUCCGAGGCUGCCAUGUACUCCGCUUCACACGUAGAUCCCGCCACGACGCUCUGCUUGCAGCUGCACCAGCUUACUGCUCCACCAUUCAACAUAUACACGUAUCCGGUUUGUGACUUAGAGUCAUCCAGAUCUGAGUCGAAGCUAGCGUCGACGUAACCCUUUACGACGAGCUCUUCGUCUCUUCCAUAAACGAGAAACAUGUCCUUCGUCCUUUUUAGGUACUUCAGGAUAUUCUUGACCGCUGUCCAGUGUUCCUUGCCGGGAUUACUUUGGUAUCUUGCUACCAAACUUACGGCAAGGUUUACAUCGGGUCUGGUACACAGCAUGGCAUACAUAAUAGAUCCUAUGGCUAAAGCAUAGGGGAUGACGCUCAUCUCUUCUUUAUCUUUUGCCGUGGUCGGUGACUGAGCCGAGCUCAAUCUCACACCUUGUAACAUAGGCAAGAACCCCUUCUUGGACUGAUCCAUUUUGAACCUCUUCAAAAUCUUAUCAAGGUAUGUGCUUUGUGAAAGACCUAUGAGGCGUCUCGAUCUAUCUCUAUAGAUCUUGAUGCCUAAUAUAUAAGCAGCUUCUCCAAGGUCCUUCAUUGAAAAACACUUAUUCAAGUAGGCCUUAAUGCUGUCCAGAAAUUCUAUAUUAUUUCCCAUCAAGAGUAUGUCAUCUACAUAUAAUAUGAGAAAUGCUACAGAGCUCCCACUCACUUUCUUGUAAACGCAGGCUUCUCCAUAAGUCUGCAUAAACCCAAACGCUUUGAUCAUCUCAUCAAAGCGAAUGUUCCAACUCCGAGAUGCUUGCACCAGUCCAUAAAUGGAUCGCUGGAGCUUGCAUACUUUGUUAGCGUUCCGAGGAUCGACAAAACCUUCCGGCUGCAUCAUAUACAGUUCUUCCUUAAGAUGCCCGUUAAGGAAUGCCGUUUUGACGUCCAUUUGCCAUAUCUCAUAAUCAUAGUAUGCGGCAAUUGCUAACAUGAUUCGGACGGACUUCAGCUUCGCUACGGGAGAGAAAGUCUCGUCGUAGUCAAUCCCUUGAACUUGUCGAUAACCCUUAGCGACAAGUCGAGCCUUAUAGAUUGUAACAUUACCAUCCGCGUCCGUCUUCUUCUUAAAGAUCCAUUUGUUUUCUAUCGCUCACCGAUCAUCGGGCACGUCUGUCAAAGUCCAUACUUUGUUUUCAUACAUGGAUUCUAUCUCGGAUUUCAUGGCUUCAAGCCAUUUGUUGGAAUCUGGGCCCGCCAUCGCUUCUUCAUAGUUCGAAGGUUCAUUGUUGUCUAACAACAUGAUUUCCAGGACAGGGUUGCCGUACCAUUCUGGUGCGGAACGUGUCCUUGUGGACCUACGAAGUUCAGUAGUAACUUGAUCCGAAGUACCUUGAUCAUCAUCAUUGUUUUCCUCUUCAGUUGGUGUGGGCAUCACAGGAACGGUUUCCUGCGCUGCGCCACUUUCCCGCUCAAGAGGUAGUACUUCAUCGAGUUAUACUUUCCUCCCACUUACUUCUUUCGAGAGAAACUCUUUUUCCAGAAAGCAUCCAUUCUUGGCAACAAAGAUCUUGCCUUCGGAUCUUAAGUAGAAGGUAUACCCGACAGUUUCCUUAGGGUAUCCUAUGAAUACGCAUUUUUCCGACUUGGGUUCGAGCUUUUCAGGUUGAAGUUUCUUGACAUAAGCAUCGCAUCCCCAAACUUUUAGAAACGACAGCUUAGGUUUCUUUCCAAACCAAAAUUCAUACGGUGUCGUCUCAACGGAUUUAGACGGUGCCCUAUUUAAAGUGAAUGUAGCUGUCUCUAGAGCGUAUCCCCAAAAUGAUAGCGGUAAAUCGGUAAGAGACAUCAUAGACCGCACCAUAUCCAAUAGGGUGCGAUUACGACGUUCGGACACACCGUUUCGCUGAGGUGUUCCAGGCGGCGUGAGCUGUGAAACUAUUCCACAUUUCCUUAAGUGUGUACCAAAUUCGUGACUUAAGUAUUCUCCUCCACGAUCUGAUCGUAAGAAUUUUAUCUUUCGGUCACGUUGAUUCUCUACCUCAUUCUGAAAUUCCUUGAACUUUUCAAAGGUCUCAGACUUGUGUUUCAUUAAGUAGACAUACCCAUAUCUACUCAAGUCAUCUGUGAGAGUGAGAACAUAACGAUAUCCUCCGCGAGCCUCAACGCUCAUUGGACCGCACACAUCGGUAUGUAUGAUUUCCAACAAGUUGGUUGCUCGCUCCAUUGUUCCGGAGAACGGAGUCUUGGUCAUUUUGCCCAAAAGGCAUGGUUCGCACGUGUCAAACGAUUCAUAAUCAAGAGACUCUAAAAGUCCAUCGGCAUGGAGCUUCUUCAUGCGCUUGACACCAAUGUGACCAAGGCGGCAGUGCCACAAGUAUGUGGGACUAUCGUUAUCAACUUUAAAUCUUUUGGCAUCUACACUAUGAACAUGUGUUAUAUUACGCUCGAGAUUCAUUAAGAAUAAACCAUUGACCAUCGGAGCAUGACCAUAAAACAUAUCUCUCAUAUAAAUCGAACAACCAUUAUUCUCAGACUUAAAUGAGUAGCCAUCUCGUAUUAAACGAGAUCCAGAUACAAUGUUCAUGCUCAAACUUGGCACUAAAUAACAAUUAUUAAGGUUCAAAACUAAUCCCGUAGGUAAAUGUAGAGGCAGCGUGCCGACGGCGAUCACAUCGACUCUGGAACCAUUCCCGACGCGCAUCGUCACCUCGUCCUUCGCCAGUCUCCGUUUAUUCCGCAGCUCCUGCUGUGAGUUACAAAUAUGAGCAACGGCACCGGUAUCAAAUACCCAGGAGUUACUACGAGUACUGGUAAGGUACACAUCAAUCACAUGUAUAUCAAAUAUACCUUUGGUGUUGCCGGCCUUCUUAUCCGCUAAGUAUUUUGGGGCAGUUCCGCUUCCAGUGACCCUUCCCCUUGCAAUAAAAGCACUCAGUCUCAGGCUUGGGUCCAUUCUUUGACUUCUUCCCGGUAACUGGCUUACCAGGCGCGGCAACAUCUUUGCCGUCCUUCUUGAAGUUCUUCUUACCCUUGCCCUUCUUGAACUUAGUGGUCUUAUUGACCAUCAACACUUGAUGUUCUUUCUUGAUUUCAGCCUCUGCUGACUUCAGCAUCGAGAACACUUCAGGAAUGGUCUUUUCCAUCCCCUGCAUGUUGUAGUUCAUCACAAAGCUCUUGUAGCUUGGUGGGAGCGACUGGAGGAUUCUGUCAAUGACCGCCUCAUCUGGGAGGUUAAUGUUCAGCUGGGUCAUACAGUUGUGCAACCCAGACAUCUUCAGGAUGUGCUCACUGACAGAACUGUUUUCCUCCAUCUUACAACUGUAGAACUUGUCGGAGACAUCAUAUCUCUCGACCCGGGCAUGAGCUUGAAAAACUAGUUUCAGCUCUUCGAACAUCUCAUAUGCUCCGUGGUGCUCAAAACGCUUUUGGAGCCCCGGUUCUAAGCUGUAAAGCAUGCCGCACUGAACGAGGGAGUAAUCAUCAGCACGAGACUGCCAAGCAUUCAUAAUGUCUUGGUUCUCUGGGACGGGAGCGUCACCUAGCGGUCCUUCUAGGACAUAUUGUUUCCUGGCAGCUAUGAGGAUGAUCCUCAGGUUCCGGACCCAGUCCGUAUAGUUGCUGCCAUCAUCUUUCAGCUUGGUUUUCUCUAGGAACGCGUUGAAGUUCAUGUUGACAUUAGCGUUGGCCAUUGACCUACAAGACAUAUUUGCAAAGGUUUUAGACUAAGAUCAUGAUAAUAAAGUUCUAAUCAAAUUAUGAACUCCCACUUAGAUUAGACAUCCCUCUAGUCAUCUAAGUGUUACACGAUCUGAGUCGACUAGCCCGUGUCCGAUCAUCACGUGAGACGGACUAGUCAUCGUCGGUGAACAUUCUCAUGUUGAUCGUAUCUUCCAUAUGACUCGUGUUCGACCUUUCGGUCUCCGUGUUCCGGGGCCAUGUUUGCACAUGCUAGGCUCGUCAAGUUAACCCUAAGUGUUUUCGCUGUGUAAAACUGUCUUACACCCGUUGUAUGUGAACGUAAGAAUCCAUCACACCCGAUCAUCACGUGGUGCUUAGAAGCGACGAACUGUAGCAACGGUGCACAGUUAGGGGAGAACACUUCUUGAAAUUUUAUAAGGGAUCAUCUUAUUUACUACCGUCGUCCUAAGUAAACAAGAUGCAUAAACAUAAUAAACAUCACAUGCAAUUAUAUAGUUGUGACAUGAUAUGGCCAAUAUCAUAUAGCUCCAUUGAUCUUCAUCUUCGGGACUCCAUGAUCAUUUUGUCACCGGCUUGACACCAUGAUCUCCAUCAUCGUGUCUUCAUGAAGUUGUCACGCCAACGACUACUUCUACUUCUAUGACUAACGUUUAGCAAUAAAGUAAAGUAGUUUACAUGGCGUUAUUCAAUGACACGCAGGUCAUACAAAAAAUAAAGACAACUCCUAUGGCUCCUGCCGGUUGUCAUACUCAUCGACAUGCAAGUCGUGAAUCCUAUUACAAAGAACAUGAUCUCAUACAUCACAAUUCAUCAUUCAUCACAACUUCUGGCCAUAUCACAUCACAUGAUCAAUCGCUGCAAAAACAAGUUAGACGUCCUCUAAUUGUUGUUGCAUCUUUUACGUGGCUGCAAUUGGGUUCUAGCAAGAACGUUUUCUUACCUACGAAUCACCACAACGUGAUUUUUGUCAACUUCUAUUUACCCUUCAUAAGGGCCCUGUUCAUCGAUUCCGCUCCAACUAAAGUGGGAGAGACAGACACCCGCCAGCCACCUUAUGCAACUAGUGCAUGUCAGUCGGUGGAACCGGUCUCACGUAAGCGUACGUGUAAGGUUGGUCCGGGCCGCUUCAUCCCACAAUACCGUUGAGCAAGAAAAGACUAGUAGAGGCAAGUAAGAUGACAAAAUCCACGCCCACAACAAAAUUGUGUUCUACUCGUGCAAAGAGAACUACGCAUAGACCUAGCUCAUGAUGCCACUGUUGAGGAACGUUGCAGAAAAUUAAAAUUUUUCCUACGGUUUCACCAAGAUCCAUCUAUGAGUUCAUCUAAGCAACGAGUCAAGGGAGAGAGUUAGCAUCUACAUACCACUUGUAGAUCGCGUGCGGAAGCUUGCAAGGUGAUGAUGUAGUCGUACUCGACGUGAUUCGAAUCACCGAUGACCAAGUGCUGAACGGACAGCACCUCCGCGUUGAACACACGUACGGGACGGGAGACGUCUCCUCCUUCUUGAUCCAGCAAGGGGGAAGGAGAGGUUGAGGAAGACAGCUCCACCGGCAGCACGACGGCGUGGUGAUGGUGGAGAGGCAGUACUCCGACAGGGCUUCGCCAAGCACACAACGGAGGAGGAGAGGUGUUGGGGAGGGGAGGGUUGCGCCUUGGAGGGUGGUGCGGCUGCCCUCCCCUCACCCCUCUAUUUAUAGGGGGAAGGGAGAAGGGGGCCGGCCCCCUAGAACCCAUCUAGGGGGGGUGCGGCGGCCUAGGGGAGAGGGGAGAGGGUGGCUUGCCCCCCAAGCCAAGGGGGCGCCCCCUCUAGGGUUCCCCCCUCAACCCUAGGCGCAUGGGCCCAAGGGAGGGGGUGCGGCCAGCCCACCAGGGGCUGGCUCCCUGCCCCACGCAGCCCAUGUGGCCCCCCGGGAGGGGUGGCCCCUCCCGGUAGACCCCCGGAACCCUUCCGGUGGCCCCGGUACAAUACCGGUAUGACCCUGAAACUUCCCGGUGUCCGUUUGACAACUUCCCAUAUAUAAAUCUUUACCUCCAGACCCUUCCGGAUCUCCUCGUGACGUCCAAGAUCCCAUCCGGGACUCCGAACAACAUUUGGUAGUCACAUACUAGUCUUCCUAAUAACCCUAGCGUCACCAAACCUUAAGUGUGUAGACCCUACGGGUUCGGGAGACAUGCAGACAUGACCGAGACGCUCUCAGUCAAUAACCAACAGAGGGAUCUGGAUACCCAUGAUGGCUCCCACAUGCUCCUCGAUGUUGUCAUCGGAUGAACCACGAUGUCGAGGAUUCGAUCAAACCCUGUAUGCAAUUCCCUUUGUCAAUCGGUACGUUACUUGCCCGAGACUCGAUCGUCGGUAUCCCAAUACCUUGUUCAGUCUCAUUACCGGCAAGUCACUUUACUCGUACCGUAAUGCAUGAUCCCGUGUCCAACACCUUGGUCACAUUGAGCUCAUUAUGAUGAUGCAUUACCGAGUGGGCCCAGAGAUACCUCUCCGUCAUACGGAGUGACAAAUCCCAGUCUCGAUCCGUGUCAACCCAACAGAUACUUUCGGAGAUACCUGUAAUGCACCUUUAUAGUCACCCAGUUACGUUGUGACGUUUGAUACACCCAAGGCACUCUUACGGUAUCCGGGAGUUACACGAUCUCAUGGUCGAAGGAAGAGAUACUUGACACUGGCAAAGCUCUAGCAAAACGAACUACACGAUCUUUUAUGCUAUGCUUAGGAUUGGGUCUUGUCCAUCACAUCAUUCUCCUAAUGAUGUGAUCCCGUUAUCAACGACAUCCAAUGUCCAUAGUCAGGAAACCAUGACUAUCUGUUGAUCACAACGAGCUAGUCAACUAGAGGCUCACCAGAGACAUAUUGUGGUCUAAGUAUUCACAUGUGUAUUACGAUUUCCGGAUAAUACAUUUAUAGCAUGAAUAAAAGACAUUUAUCAUGAACAAUGAAAUAUAAUAAUACUUUUAUUAUUGCCUCUAGGGCAUAUUUCCAACAAUUCAUGUGUACCUUACUAAUGCUCGCAGUAGCACCUGGGUAUUUGAUACUGGUUCUGUUGCUAAUAUUUGCAACUCGAAACAGGGACUACGGAUUAAGCGAAGAUUGGUUAAGGACGAGGUGACAAUGCGCGUGGGAAAUUGUUCCAAAGUCGAUGUGAUCGCGGUCGGCACGCUACCUCUACAUCUACCUUCGGGAUUAGUAUUAGACCUAAAUAAUUGUUAUUUGGUGCCAGCGUUGAGCAUGAACAUCAUAUCUGGAUCUUGUUUAAUGCGAGAUGGUUAUUCAUUUAAAUCAGAGAAUAAUGGUUGUUCUAUUUAUAUGAGUAAUAUAUUUUAUGGUCAUGCACCCUUGAAGAGUGGUCUAUUCUUAUUGAAUCUCGAUAGUAGUAAUACACAUAUUCAUAAUGUUGAAGCCAAAAGAUGCAGAGUUGAUAAUGAUAGUGCAACUUAUUUGUGGCACUGCCGUUUAGGCCAUAUCGGUGUAAAGCGCAUGAAGAAACUCCAUACUGAUGGACUUUUGGAACCACUUGAUUAUGAAUCACUUGGUACUUGCGAACCGUGCCUCAUGGGCAAGAUGAUCAAAACACCGUUCUCCGGUACUAUGGAGAGAGCAACAGAUUUGUUGGAAAUCAUACAUACAGAUGUAUGUGGUCCGAUGAAUAUUGAGGCCCGUGGCGGAUAUCGUUAUUUUCUCACCUUCACAGAUGAUUUAAGCAUAUAUGGGUAUAUCUACUUAAUGAAACAUAAGUCUGAAACAUUUGAAAAGUUCAAAGAAUUUCAGAGUGAAGUUGAAAAUCAUCGUAACAAGAAAAUAAAGUUUCUACGAUCUGAUCGUGGAGGAGAAUAUUUGAGUUACGAGUUUGGUGUACAUUUGAAAAAUUGUGGAAUAGUUUCGCAACUCACGCCACCCGGAACACCUCAGCGUAAUGGUGUGUCCGAACGUCGUAAUCGUACUUUACUGGAUAUGGUGCGGUCUAUGAUGUCUCUUACUGAUUUACCGCUAUCAUUUUGGGGAUACGCUCUAGAGACGGCCGCAUUCACGUUAAAUAGGGCACCAUCAAAAUCCGUUGAGACGACGCCUUAUGAACUGUGGUUUGGCAAGAAACCAAAGUUGUUGUUUCUGAAAGUUUGGGGCUGCGAUGCUUAUGUGAAAAAGCUUCAACCUGAUAAGCUUGAACCCAAGUCGGAGAAAUGUGUCUUCAUAGGAUAUCCAAAGGAAACUAUUGGAUACACCUUCUAUCACAGAUCCGAAGGCAAGACUUUUGUUGCUAAAUUCGGAAACUUUCUGGAGAAGGAGUUUCUCUCGAAAGAAGUGAGUGGGAGGAAAGUAGAACUUGACGAGGUAACUGUACCUGCUCCCUUACUGGAAAGUAGUACAUCACAGAAAACUGUUUUAGUGACACCUACACCAGUUAGUGAGGAAGCUAAUGAUAAUGAUCAUGAAACUUCAGAUCAAGAUACUACUGAACCUCGUAGAUCAACCAGAGUGAUAUCCGCACCAGAGUGAUACGGUAAUCCUGUUCUGGAAGUCAUGCUACUAGAUCAUGAUGAACCUACGAACUAUGAAGAAGCGAUGGUGAGCCCAGAUUCCGCAAAAUGGCUUGAAGCCAUGAAAUCUGAGAUGGGAUCCAUGUAUGAGAACAAAGUAUGGACUUUGGUUGACUUGCCCAAUGAUCGGCAAGCGAUUGAGAAUAAAUGGAUCUUCAAGAAGAAGACUGAUGCUGACGGUAAUAUUACUGUCUACAAAGCUCGACUUGUCGCAAAAGAUUUUCGGCAAGUUCAAGGGAUUGACUACGAUGAGACCUUCUCACCCGUAGCGAUGCUUAAGUCUGUCCGAAUCAUGUUAGCAAUUGCCGCAUUUUAUGAUUAUGAAAUUUGGCAGAUGGAUGUCAAAACUGCAUUCCUGAAUGGAUUUCUGGAAGAAGAGUUGUAUAUGAUGCAACCAGAAGGUUUUGUCGAUCCAAAGGGAGCUAACAAAGUGUGCAAGCUCCAGCGAUCCAUUUAUGGACUGGUGCAAGCCUCUCGGAGUUGGAAUAAACGUUUUGAUAGUGUGAUCAAAGCAUUUGGUUUUAUACAGACUUUUGGAGAAGCCUGUAUUUACAAGAAAGUGAGUGGGAGCUCUGUAGCAUUUCUGAUAUUAUAUGUGGAUGACAUAUUGCUGAUUGGAAAUGAUAUAGAAUUUCUGGAUAGCAUAAAGGGAUACUUGAAUAAGAGUUUUUCAAUGAAAGACCUCGGUGAAGCUGCUUACAUAUUGGGCAUUAAAAUCUAUAGAGAUAGAUCAAAACGCUUAAUUGGACUUUCACAAACAACAUACCUUGACAAAAUUUUGAAGAAGUUCAAAAUGGAUCAAGCAAAGAAAGGAUUCUUGCCUAUGUUACAAGGUGUGAAAUUGAGUAAGACUCAAUGCCCGACCACUGCAGAAGAUAGAGAGAAUAUGAAAGAUGUUCCCUAUGCAUCAGCAAUAGGAUCUAUCAUGUAUGCAAUGCUGUGUACCAGACCUGAUGUGUGCCUUGCUAUAAGUCUAGCAGGGAGGUACCAAAGUAAUCCAGGAGUGGAUCACUGGACAACGGUCAAGAACAUCCUGAAAUACCUGAAAAGGACUAAGGAUAUGCUUCUUGUAUAUGGAGGUGACAAAGAGCUCGUCAUAAAUGGUUACGUUGAUGCAAGCUUUGACUGAUCCGAACGAUUCUAAAUCGCAAACCGGAUACAUGUUUACAUUAAACGGUGGAGCUGUCAGUUGGUGCAGUUCUAAACAAAGCGUCGUAGCGGGAUCUACAUGUGAAGCGGAGUACAUAGCUGCUUCGGAAGCAGCAAAUGAAGGAGUCUGGAUGAAGGAGUUCAUAUCUGAUCUAGGUGUCAUACCUAGUGCAUCGGGUCCAAUGAAAAUCUUUUGUGACAAUACUGGUGCAAUCGCCUUGGCAAAGGAAUCCAGAUUUCACAAAAGAACCAAGCACAUCAAGAGACGCUUCAAUUCCACCCGGGAUCUAGUCCAGGUGGGAGACAUAGAGAUUUGCAAGAUACAUACAGAUCUGAAUGUUGCAGACCCGUUGACUAAGCCUCUUCCACGAGCAAAACAUGCUCAGCAGCAAGGCUCCAUGGGUGUUAGAAUCAUUGCUGUGUAAUCUAGAUUAUUGACUCUAGUGCAAGUGGGAGACUGAAGGAAAUAUGCCCUAGAGGCAAUAAUAAAGUUAUUAUUUAUUUCCUUAUAAUCAUGAUAAAUGUUUAUUAUUCAUGCUAGAAUUGUAUUAACCGGAAACAUAAUACAUGUGUGAAUACAUAGACAAACUUAGUGUCACUAGUAUGCCUCUACUUGACUAGCUCGUUAAUCAAAGAUGGUUAUGUUUCCUAACCAUGAACAAAGUGUUGUUAUUUGAUUAACGGGAUCACAUCAUUAAGAGAAUGAUCUGAUUGACAUGACCCAUUCCAUUAGCUUAGCACCCGAUCGUUUAGUAUGUUGCUAUUGCUUUCUUCAUGACUUAUACAUGUUCCUAUAACUAUGAGAUUAUGCAACUCCCGUUUGCCGGAGGAACACUUUGGGUGCUACCAAACGUCACAACAUAACUGGGUGAUUAUAAAGGAGCAUUACAGGUGUCUCCAAAGGUAGAUGUUGGGUUGGCGUAUUUUGAGAUUAGGAUUUGUCACUCCGAUUGUCGGAGAGGUAUCUCUGGGCCCUCUCGGUAAUGCACAUCACAUAAGCCUUACAAGCAUUGCAACUAAUGAGGUAGUUGCGAGAUGAUGUAUUAUGGAACAAGUAAAGAGACUUGCCGGUAACGAGAUUGAACUAGGUAUUGGAAUACCGACGAUCGAAUCUCGGGCAAGUAACAUACCGAUGACAAAGGAAACAACGUAUGUUGUUAUGCGGUCUGACCGAUAAAGAUCUUCGUAGAAUAUGUAGGAGCCAAUAUGGGCAUCCAGGUCCCGCUAUUGGUUAUUGACCGGAGACGUGUCUCGGUCAUGUCUACAUUGUUCUCGAACCCGUAGGGUCCGCACGCUUAAGGUUACGAUGACAGUUAUAUUAUGAGUUUAUGCAUUUUGAUGUACCGAAGGUUGUUCGGAGUCCCGGGUGUGAUCACGGACAUGACGAGGAGUCCCGAAAUGGUCGAGACAUAAAGAUUGAUAUAUUGGAAGCCUAUGUUUGGAUGUCGGAAGUGUUCCGGGUGAAAUCGGGAUUUUACCGGAGUACCGGGAAGGUUACCGGAACCCCCCCGGGAGUUAAAUGGGCCAUGAUGGGCCUUAGUGGAAAAGAGAAGAGGCAGCCCUACAUGGGCUGCGCGCCUCCCCCUUCCCCUAGUCCUAUUAGGACUAGGAGAGGUGGCCGGCCCCCUCCCUCUCUUUUCCCCCUCCACGAAUCCUAUUCCAACUAGGAUUGGGGGGGGGGGGAUCCUACUCCCAGAGGGAGUAGGACUCUCCUAGCGCGCCACACCUUGGCCGGCCAGCCUCCCCCCUCUAGUCCUUUAUAUACUGAGGCAGAGGCACCCUAGAACACACAAGUUGAUCCACGUGAUCUAUUCCUUAGCCGUGUGCGGUGCCCCCAGCCACCAUAUUCCUCGAUAAUACUAUAGCGGAGUUUAGGCGAAGCCCUGCUGCUGUAGUGCAUCAAGAUCGUCACCACGCCGUCGUGCUGAUGGAACUCUUCCCCGACACUUUGCUGGAUCGGAGUCCGGGGAUCGUCAUCGAGCUGAACGUGUGCUCAAACUCGGAGGUGCCGUAGUUUCGGUACUUGAUCGGUUGGAUCGUGAAGACGUACGACUACUUCCUCUAUGUUGCGUCAACGCUUCCGCAGUCGGUCUGCGUUGGUACGUAGAGAACACUCUCCCCUCUCGUUGCUAUGCAUCACAUGAUCUUGCGUGUGCGUAGGAAAUUUUUUGAAAUUACUACGAAACCCAACAAGAGCAACCUUUUUUGACAAAAAGGUAGAGCAGAGAGCUGCAUUUCAUUGAUCAAAAGUUUGUGAAUUCCUCAUUUCUUCUCCUUUUUUCAACAUAUUUAAAUGUUGGUCACUUCUUCUCUCUUUUCUCAACAUUUAAACAACUUUGACCAACAUUUAAACUAGGUGAAUUUCUCAUACAAUUUCAAGAUUACAAAUUCCUCCAUAAUUCAUGCCUUUCCAUACAUUUUCAACAUUACAACCAGUGCGAUUACCAUACUUACAAAUGCCCAAAAGUAUUUGCAAAUGGGUAUUGGUAGUGCUUGAUCUUCAAGCUUCCUAACCUUCUUCUUCAACAUCCUAAGCUCAACAGCUAGCUCUCUGUCAGUGCGUGCUUCGCCCUCCAUCUCUUCUUCUAGAGCUCGUGUUGCGGCCACUGCCGUUCGUGGCAGCAUGCACAACCAUUCUUCAUGAUCUUCUUGCAGUUCAUUCAUCAGAGUCUUGGCCAGAGCAUCGACCUAAAGAAAGAAGCAUGUCACCUGCAUGAACACCAAACAGAUCAACCCAUUGCUCAAAGAUCCCGACCACGAAAAUGGUGCAAUUUCCCCGAUUCUUACCCCAUUCUCGCUGCACACGUAGAACGGACGAUUUUGGUUCCUCGGUGUGUGAGAAACCCUCCGAACAACGCCCGCCCAACACCGCGGACAGACGAAGACAUGCAUGUCCACACGCGCCCGGCUCUACAUCCGUGAGGUGGCGUAGGAGCUUGAGGAAGACAUGGAGCUCGGAGCCGAAGGGGAUCUCAACGCCGCCGCGCCCUCCACAACUAGCUUCCCACCGCCGUGCUCUCUCUCGCCGUGGUCACCGUCGUGCUCUCUGUCACCGUGGUCACCGCCGCUGUGUGUCGCCCGCUUAUAUAGCACACACCCGCAACGGCUCUCUGCUGGGUCCCACAAGCCAUGCGUGCAACAGUCUGAAUAGAAUUGGCCAUCUCUGCCGCCUGGUCCCACCCGUAAGGGCUGAGUCAAAACGUUGACCUGACGGAGACAGCAGAGUUCACGGAACGAGUUGGUGCGCACGGACUAGGGGCAAAACUGAGCACAAUUCGCAUCUGAGGGCAAAACUGAGCACACGGACACCACUGAGGGCAAACGGAUAAUUAAUCCUUGCAAGAUCCUCCUCCUUUUCAAUAUCAAAUUCUUCUUCGAAAGAAUCAUAUGACGAACUCAUCAACAAUGUUCAAUUUGACCUAGGCUAUAAAGCUACAAACAACAUGCACCAAAUUCAUGUAAAAAAUGUCCAGUUUAACGCAAAUUUUCCAGCGCGGCGCUUAUAUAGCACGGUUGUUGAAGAUGCUCUUAUAAUCGCAAGUGCUUACAAAUAUGCACAUUACACCCUUUUUGCAGAAACUUUUUCUUUUUUGCAGUGGGAUUAGAAAGAUCUAUUCGACGAAACAUAUUAUCUCGACAGUCAGCCAAGAAGCCACUAAACAGAAAUCUAGGAGGUUCGAUCUGUCGGUCACAUUCAAUGUGCAAGAAACUUAGCACAAUGAUGAGGUGAAACUGGACCGCGGAAAAUUUGCACUCACAUUCUAGUUAAACUAGGGAACACCCCGCGCAUUGAUGUGGGAAUUGGUUGAUAACAUCAAGACCAAAAUUAAACAUACAUAUGACUUAAUAUAUUUUAUUAUGCAUAGUUGUAAUUUUUUGUUGAAUAUAAAGUAGAAUAAUACAAUGGAAAACAUUUCCCCAUGGUUGAAUGUUGUGUUGUGGUGGAUCUUUUCCCAUGCAUUUUUUAAAAUGUAACAAACAUUUUUCUGAAUGUACGAAACAAUUUAUUUAAAUUACGCAAUGUUUUUUAACAUUGUAUAAACAGUUUUUUUAGAUUUCAUACACAUAUUAUUUUUAAAUGCGUGACCUUUUUUAAAUGUCAAGAACAUACUAAUUCAUACAUAGGAUUAAUAUUCUUUAUACACGUUUAACAUUUUCAAAAUCAUGAUUAAUAUUUUUAAAAUUUUACAUGAAAUGUUUUUGUAAUAUAUAUUUAGAAUGUUUCAAAAUAUGAACAAUAGUUAAAGUAUGAAGAGAAAACAAGAAUAUAGUUUUUGAGUGAAACGAAAAUAUAAAUGUGAAGGAAAAACAUGGGUGACGCCAACAUGAAGCGACCACGUGGUUACUGGGCCGGCCCAACAACGGAACCCUGCAUGCGACCCUGUGUACUAGAGUUGUUGCGGGCGGCACAUAGCGCCUGUACCUCUGAGUCUUAAUUUGGUUCGAGACACCUGUUAGUUUGGACUGUUCAGAUGACUCUAAGAGCAUCUCCAACAGGUGCGGUAAAAGGCGCGCCCGCGCGGUAAAAUUUGGUUUUAGCGUGCGCCGGCUGGUUCCACGCGCUCCAGCGGCGGCGGAAACUUACCGCGCGCGGGACAAAGCGGCACGCGGCGUGGUAGAUUUAGCGCGCCGCUUCGCGCGCGCCUAUAAAAUGACGCGCUCUCCACGCGCACAGACACAUCCACGCGCCCUCCCCUCGCAACCUCGCCGCUUUCCGCGCCACCAUGCUGCCGCGCCGCCGGGGUUCUUCGGACUACCGCGGCGUCCGCGAGCGCCCCAACGGCUGGUACUCCGCCGAGAUCCGGUCCGGCGACGUCCGGCUCAGCCUCUGGGUCGUUCCGGAGCGCGUACGAGGCGGCCCGCGCGUACGACGCGGCGGCGUGGCGCUCGGAUAGGCCCCGGACGCAGAUGAACUUCCGGGACGUCUUCACGCGCGAGCAGGCGCAGCGCGUCGCCCCUCCGUCGCGUCUCAUCACCGACAUGGACCGUGCCGACCACGCUCGGCGCUGCCGCCGCCUCCUCAUCGCCGAGGAGGACGAGCGAGCCAUGGUGGAGUGGCGCCGUCGCCACCCGGAGGACGUCGCCGACGAGCGUGCCUACUGUGCGGAGAGGACGGCAAGACGCCGCGCGGAGCGGGCGGACCGGCGUCGGCGGAAGGCAUUGGCGAAUGCGCAGUGCGAUAUCGUUGAAGCAGGUGGGAGGUCGAUCUUCACGCCAGACGAUGAACGUUGGGACGACAUAUGGCUCGAUACCUCGGACAACACCGACGAGGAUGUUGAUGAUGGUAGCGACUUAGAGUAGUUUAUAUCUAUAUAUGCCGUAGUAGUUUCUAUCUAGUUGCACCGUAGUUCUAUCUAUCUAUGCUUUUGAACUAUCUAUCUAGUUACACCGAUGUAAAAUACCUUUGUAUCGUUUUUUAUUAUCUUAAUAUUUAUCUAUAUUUCCGAAAAUGUUGUAAAAAUGAGCGCGCGUGCUGCAUUUUUACGUGCUGCUGAAGCGCCGCGCGCCGCUCCAAACCAGAUGAUAGGCGCGCGGUAAAGUUGUUUUUUGCAUGUUGGAGAUGCUCUAACCACAUACCCUCGCUGGUAACUACGCUCUGCUGGUGAAUACUCUCGUCCAGAGAUUCCGACUCUCCAAUGUCUUCGUAGAAGGUUGAAGGUGAGCGGAAUCAACAUCCAGUAUGCCGGAACCUUAGAGGCGAUGAAAGUCCCUUGAUCCUGACCCACACUUACGACCUACCUCUAGCUACCUCGACCUCCGGGACAGAUCACUCUCGAAGUGACUAUCGGCGACACCCAAAAUCUAAUGGACUUAAACCAUCACAUUUGAGGUCGUUGACUUCGAACGCAUCUAUGUUCUUUUGCUUUUUUUCAAUAAAAGGUGGAUUUUAUUAACUUAAAAUGAAGCUUCAAGAGGAUACAAACACGAUGAGCAUCCGGUCUCUGUAUAGUUAGGAUGCACAUAAUCACUAUAUUCGUCUGCUUAUCUACUCGUUUCACCGAACCUUUGAAUGUGUAAUGCACAACUUUUCUGAAUAAUUUUUCAGUCUAACAUGAUAAAUAUUUCAAUUUCAGCAAGACAUUCUUACCAUCUAUUUCAAGGCUGAUCAACGGAACACUCCUCUAAAUACAUCUUUCAUUUAUAUCUGUAACAAAUGCUCUACAAAUCUGGAGUUUCCACCAAUAAAAAUACUAGUACUAGUGCAGCUUCCUUCUGAAGAAAGUUGCAGUUACUACUGUGCUACCGGCCUUGCAGAACUGUCAUGGCCAUGGUGUUCCUGGUGUUCUCGAGAUCGCUUCUCUGGCUCUUGUCUCCCAUCAUUUCGAUAAAAGCAGGCUGCACCGGCGUCGGGAGGGACAGCGACGACGCGCUUCCAUUUUCCAAAAUGGACACGACGGACGACAUGAGCGGCCUCCGGCUUGGGUCGUCCUCGACGCACAGGAGCCCCACGUGGAUGCAGAGCAAUGCCUCAUCCUGUGAACAGCUCCCUGCCAUGGAUGGAUCCACCAGCUUACCUGCCUUCCCUUCUCUCCACAGGCUCCAUGCCUACAUAAAAAUAAUAAUAAAAGAAUUUAUUAAUACCUGUCGAGACAAUCCCCACCCCAUGUUAAUCGGGGGAUUUUAAUAUCCUUCAAUAUCAGUAGGGAAAAAACAAUGUCCGGUUUGAUACAAGGUGGCCUUUCCUCUUUAAUGAUGUUAUCGACAGUCUGGAUCUGAGGGAGAUCACGAUGUCUGGUCGUCAGUAUACCUAGACCAAUAAUCGAUCCAUGCCAAUCUUUGAAAAACUUGACCGGGUGCUAGUUACCACCGACUGGGAAUAUAAAUAUCCCCUAGCCUCGGUUCGGGCAUUAGAAAGAAUUGAGGCCUUAUCGGAUCACCCUCCAUUGCUCAUCGAUUUUGGACAACCAAUCCCAAGUUCUAACCGUCACCAAUUUAAAUUUGAAUUGGGAUGGCUCACUAGAGAGGGAUUUCAUGACCUGGUUAAGAAAGUGUGGGCGCGUCUGCCUCGCGGUAACACACCCAUUCAACGAUGGAAUAAUCGAAUUCGCGCAUUGCGUCGAUUGCUUCGUGGAUGAGCCAAGCAUACUGCUGGCAUCUACAAAAAAGAAAAACUGCGACUAUCUACCUUAAUUGAUUCCCUUGAUAAAAUAGCGGAGGUGAGGCCUCUGUCCGCAGUUGAGAUUGAGCAAAAAAGCAAUCUAAAAGAGCAGAUAGCCCGCCUACUACGCGAGGAAUAGAUGAAAUGGUACCAACGUUGCAAGGCGGAUUCGCUUGUGCAAGAUGAUGAUAAUACGAAAUACUUUCAAAUGCUUGCCAAUGGCAGACAUAGAAAAGAAACGCAUAUUCACCCUUGACUAGGAGGAAGGCCGAAUUGAGGAGGACGUACCACUUAGAACUUUUAGUACUAAGUAUUAUAAAGAGCUUUUUGGACCUUCGGCUUAAUCAAAUUUUCAGCUGGAUGAAUCCAUUACUCAUGACAUUCCUCAAGUUACGGAAGCGGAAAAUGAAUUCCUAACCUCCCCGUUCUCUGAGGAGGAAAUUCGAACCGCGGUGUUUCAAAUGGAACACAACAAGGCUUUGGGUCCGGAUGGCUUUCCCGCAGAGUUCUAUCAAUAUUUUUGGGACGUCAUUAAGGCAGUCUUGGUUCAGUUGUUUAACCAACUGCAUGCUGAAGACCUUGACAUUUCUCGUUUAAACUUUGGGGAAAUUAUCCUAUUGCCUAAGAUUAAGGAGGCUAGUAUCGACCGAUUUGCCUUCUAAAUGUAAGUUUUAAAAUCUUUACGAAGGUCUAAUCGGUUGAACGGGGUGGCUGGCCAUGUCGUAAAACCCACUCAGACAGCAUUUAUUCAAGGUCGCAACAUAUUAGAUGGAGUGGUCGUCUUGCACGAAACUGUACAUGAGCUUCACCCAAAAAAAUUAAAUGGUGUCAUUCUUAAAAUAGAUUUUGAAAUGGCCUACGAUAAGGUUAAGUGGCCCUUUCUGUUGCAAACUAUGCGCAUGAAGGGGUUUUCACAAAAAUGAUGUCGUUGGGUAGAGAGCUUUGUCUCUGGAGGCAGUGUGGCCAUAAAAGUUAAUGAUGACGUUGGCAACUAUUUUCAGACAAGGAAGGGGCUUCACCAAGGGGACCCCGCUUCUCCUAUUUUGUUUAACAUUGUGGCCGACAUGCUAGCUACCCUUGUUGAGCAGACUAAGCUGUACGGUCAAAUUAGUGGUGUCAUUCCACACUUGGUAGAAGAUGGUCUAUCUAUUCUACAAUAUGCGGAUGACACUAUUCUAUUCAUGGAUCAUGAUCUAGAUAAGGCAAGAAAUCUCAAGUUGCUCUUAUGUGCUUUUGAGAAACUUUCUGGUCUCAAAAUUAAUUUUCAUAAGAGCGAACUUUUUUGCUUUGGCGAUACUGCAGAAUCAGCACCUGAGUAUGCUGACAUUUUUGGAUGCCGGCUCGGGCAGUUUCCGAUUCGAUAUCUAGGUAUUCCCAUACACCAUCGGUGCUUAACUGUAGCUGAGUGGAAGCAUGUGGAAGAGAGACUUGAGAAACACUUAGCUAGUUGGAAGGCCAAGCUCUUGUCUUACGGGGGACGAUUGAUCUUGAUCAAUUCAGUUCUAAGCAACAUGGUUUUAUAUAUGUUGUCAUUCUUCCACUUACCGAAAGGGGUUCUCCAGCGACUAGACUACUUUAGAUCCAGAUUUCUUUGGCAAUGCGAUAACGAAUCCAAGAAAUAUCGACUGACUAGGUGGAGCGUAUUAUGCAGACCUAAAAGUCAAGCGGGGUUGGGAAUCCAAGACCUUGAGAUUAAAAACAUUGCUCUUCUCAGCGAGUGGGUUUACAAACUACUCACUGAGAAUAGAGUAUGGAAGAAAAUCAUUCGCAACAAAUAUGCAGGAUCCAAUGCCAUUUCUUAAGUUCAUUGGAAACCUGGGGAUUCGCAUUUCUGAAGUGGUGUGAUGAAGGCCAAGGAAUUCUUUUUCCAAUUUGAGACCUUCUCAGUUAGGGAUGGUUCUCAGGUUCGAUUCAGGGAAGAUAUCUGGCUAGGGAAUAACCCACUAAUGGUGCAAUAUCCGAGCUUGUAUAGGAUUGUUAGACAUAAAUUCGUCACAAUCAAACAAGUCAAUGACAAGAAAAUCCUGAUAUUUCUUUCCGUAUGGAUCUUUUUGGCCCUCGCCUGGCAGCAUGGAAUGAAUUACUCACUCGCCUGGAGGACAUUAAACUGUCAGGUGAGCCGGACAUUUUUCGAUCAAACUUGCAUUAGAAUGGUAAAUUUUCAGUCAAAUCCAUGUAUAAUGCAAUGGUUCAUUGUGAUGUUUCAGUUGAUAACAGGAAAUUGUGGAAGCUCAAAAUCUCUCUAAGAGUGAAGAUUUUCCUCUGGUUUCUUAAUAGAGGAGUCAUCCUAACUAGACAUAAGCUGGCACGACGAAACUGACAUGGUUCAAAGACAUGUGUCUUUCGCCAACAUGAUGAGUCUAUUAAACACUUAUUUUUUGAGUGCAAGUUCGCUCGGGCAGUUUGGGCCAUAGUUCAAGUAGCUUCGAAUCUAUACAAACCACGUAGUGCACGGAACAUGUUCGGCAACUGGUUGCGGGGUAUUGAUAAACAUUUUUCUACACAUAUUCUUGUGGAAGCGGCGGCCUUAUGCUGGGCACCAUGGCUUACCAGGAAUGAUGUGAUUUUUAAUAACAAAUGUGUCUCAUCUCCUAUGCUGGUUAUUCAUGUGUGUACACGAUGACUCCGUACUUGGUCUAUCCUGCAGAGGCCGGAGGACAGAGACCUUUUUAUAAUGGCGUCUACACGGCUGGAGCGUACGGCCAGGGAGGUUUUCUAUCCCCAUGGAUGGCGGUGUGACCUACGGAUAGGAUCUGCCACUCCUUAGGCUAGACAUGUUUUUUUAUUGGCAUUGUAUCAAAUUAUUUUUUGCUUUUAGGGUACUCUCGACUUUUUUUGGCUGUGUGCAUCUAGCUAUGCAGAGGCCGGACUUUCUUUCGACGUGAUUAUAUCACCUCGAUAUAUCUAUUCAAUGAAAUGUCCUUUAUCGAAAAAAAUUGUAUGUGUGUUUUAAAGAUGAAUAUGCAUUUAGACAUGACAUGGACUGAAAUGAAAAAGGCAUUAGCAGUUUUAGUUCAGGUACUUACAUAGACUAUGAGGCUGGGGAACUCCAUGAUGCCCUCGGUUGCGCUUACCCUGAUGCCGCUCACGAUCUCCAGCAGCAGCACACCGAAGCUGUACACGUCGGACUUGACCGAGAAGACGCCCUCCGUCGAGUACUCUGGAGCAAUGUAGCCACUGUCCACACAUAGUAUUUGUUUCGUCAGAAGAGGUGCCACAUUUUUCUGUUAAUGCCCACUGUAUUUUUCUUAUCAUUUUCUGUAAAUUCAGUCAAGUGUUGAGAUAACUCACUAUGUUCCCACGAUUUUCCGGGUGUUGGCUUUCACCUGGUUGUCACCAAAGAUCUUUGCCAUGCCAAAGUCGGCGAUCUUGGGUCUCAUCUCUGCAUCCAGCAGCACGUUGCUGGCCUUGAGGUCCCUGUGUAUCACCGUCAGCCUGGAGUCCUGGUGAAGGUAGAGCAACCCCCUCGCCACGCCCUUGAUGAUCCCCAGCCGUGUCGGCCAGUCCAGCACCAGUUUUCUCUCGCUGUCUGCAACAUCUAAACUUCAGCAACCAUGGCAAGAAACCUUCAGUUAUAUACUUGAGUUCUCUGAACAUUGUAUGUACCGAAGAGGAUGGCGUCGAGGCCCUUGUUGGGCAAAUACUCGUAGAUGAGCAGCUUCUCUGCCCCCUCGGUGCAGCAGCCAAGGAGACGGACCAGGUUCCGGUGCUGCAGCUUGGCGAUAAGAAUCGCCUCGUUCUUGAACUCCUCUGCUCCCUGCUCUGAAUCCUUGCCUAGCCUCUUCACAGCGACCACCUGACCGCCGUCUAGUUUUGCCUUCCCAAUGGUAAACAGAAACAAGCAGUGGAGUGAGACCAUGAUUUUAUUUAUUUACUUGGCCACUGAAUGGACCCCGAUAAAUUCCCGAACGUUCGGAAUUUAAGCAUUUCAUCCCAAACGUUUUUUCAUGACAACUUUAGUUGACGCGAGGUGGCAACUUUAGUUAUUAAGACAUAACAACUGUGUCCCAGUUUGUUUUUUCUUAGAAAACUGCCAUGUUUGCCAACCUCGCGUAAACUAAAGUUGCCAUGAAAAACGUUCGAAUUGCCAUGCUUAAAGUCUGAAUAUUCGGCAUUUAUCAUUUCCGCUGAAUUUUGUGCUAAACUGACAGAACAUCGAAGUUCGUGUGACUGAAAGACAGGUGAAAGGUAGUAUACCUUGUAAACCUUGCCGAAGCCUCCCCGCCCGAUCAUGAGGGUCUUGGAGAAGUUGCCCGUGGCGGCGACAAUGUCGGCGAACCGUAUGGACGGGAACUCGAGGUCUCCGGUGUGAUCUCCUUCCCCGAUUUCGCUCGAUGUGUUUGUGGACCCGGUUCUGAUCCCGGGCAUUAGCGUCUUCUGGCUCUCGGUUUUUCUUUUCUUUUCUGUAAAAUUGUUGCGAUGAGCAUCUUUUCUAAGAAUGAAAUGGUUGGGCCUGGCAUGUUUAGAGGUAAGGAAAUGUAACUGUACCUCUGAAUCUGCAGAACCAUACAAAGAAAAUGCAUGUCAGCAGCAGGACAGCUGCUGACACCGGCACUGCUAUUUUCACGGCAUUUCUGUUGGCCUUUCCACCUGCACAUGCAAAUACACGGCAAAAGUUUGAUGAAACAACAGUAAACUUUUUGUUUGAAUUCAGUAAAAUCCAGCGGAACUCUGGAAAAGUUUUUUUUGAAAAAGCUCUGAAAAGUUUGGUUAACUUGUUUCUAUACCUGGGGAAGUGGAAGCAGCAGCGACGGGGACGCGGAGGUAGAGCGUCUCGCCGCCCCAGCGCGGGCCGAUCAUCUGCGCGUCGACAAGCUCCCCUGCCCACACGAUGCACCGGCUCAGUUCGCCCUUGGCGCUGCUGCUCUGCAGGUUGGCGUACGCGUACGCCUCGCACGAGCAGUUGGCGGCGCACCUGGCCGCGCACUCCUCCGCGCUCCGGUUGCCGGCGUCGAGCGAGAACUUGUCCGGCACCUUCAUGGUCGGCAUCGGCACGAAACCCACCCUCAUGCCGCCGCCGCCGCACGGCGGCAGAGCCUCCUUCCGCCGGCACCCCUGCUCGAACACGCCCGCGCUCCACUCCGACGCGCUCGCCGGCUCGAACCCGUCGAGGCACCUGCACGUGGCCGGCGCCGCCGUGACGUCGCAGUACCCGUACGCGCCGCAACGCUUGUAUGUGCUGCACCCGCUCGACGGCCAGGACUGGAUCGUGGCCCACGCCGACACGGUGCCGUUCCAGCUGAGGAGCUGAAACCUGCCGGAGCUGGUCACCACGUACCGCGUGGGCGCCGCGCCGCCGGAGAGGGUGAAGGCGAUGGAGAUCUCCUCCUCGGUGUCGACGAUCGCCGUGUAGAGCACCGUGCCGGCGCUGAGGUACAUGCUGGCGACGGCGUACCCCUUCCAGACGGGCGUGCGCCAGUAGGGCCGCGUGCCGUUCCACAUGAGCAGCUGCAGCGACGUGCCGGGGUCCAGGCCGUAGGAGAAGCUCCCCGCCGCCGGGUCGCCGGGGGAUUUCCAGGACACGAUCCGGUUGCCCUCUCCCGUUAGGUGGCUCAGCCGCACCUUCAUCCCCGGGACGAACGUGUCCGUCGGGUGGUCGAAGCUCUGCCACACCACCGUGCCGUUCGGCGACCGGACGACCAGGUUGCCCUCGUUCGUCAGCAGGGCCGGCGGCGAGGAAGACGAGGAGGACGUGCUGCCCGCGCCGGGAGUACUCCAGAGCACGCGGCCGUCGGCGUCGGACACGACGAGGCUGGAGUCGUUGGCCAGCGCGAGCGUCGGGGAGCCGGCGGCCGGGGCCUCCCGGUUGGCCACCCAGACAACGGUGCGGGGGGCAGGGAUGCCGUUGUACCAUAUGCCAAGAUACCGUCUCGCCGGACCGGCGGCGUCGUCCGGAGAGAAGAAGCCGAGAGCGAAGGCGCCGCCGUCCGACACGAGGGUUUGCUCCACAAGGAGCCUCUCGCCGACGGCCAGCUGAUCCUCAGCCGACGCGCACAGGAGGCAGACGGCGACGGCGAGGACGAGGACGACAGAACGUGACAGGUCCAUCGAUCAAGUUCAAGCUAGCUACCGCCUUGACAUUUCGUCUGGGCAUGCAGUACAUGAUCCUUCUUGUUCUUGGCCUGCAAGGCCCGCGAUGUAGCCUAGCUAGCCACACGGUGACGCGAGCUUGUGAGUUCAUAUUGACUAGUUUGAGCAUGCACCAGGGUCCAGGGAAGUGCAGUGCACAUGGGCGCAGGUGAAGUGGUCUGGUCUCCUGUGUGUGCGCGUGACGCGCAAGUGCAUAAUGCGACCUACCAUGUCCAACAACGACAGUUGAUUCUGUGGUGUUUUGGCACGAGGGCGCGACCGAUCAGGUUGACACAGUGGAUUGUUGACAAUGUGGGCGAAUCUCGAGGUUCUCGCCAGGGGCCGGAUCUCGCUGUUCUCACCGCCGGCAUGCCCAAGGAGGGAAGGCUCGUUGAGGGUGGCAGGGUUUCACCGACCACGAUGGGCUCCUCGUGUCGUUCCCGUUCCUGGUCCAGAUCUGUUGUAGCCGGGUGGGGACCUUUCCCACAUUCGGUUCAUCGGCGGAACCGACGGGCGUGCCGGAUUAUGUGGCAGCCGCAAGGCUGUCUAGGGUGCUAGGGUUUCAACCUUCCCAUUUAGCGUCAUCAGGGAUGGAUGACGGAGUCGAUCAGUGGCGGAUCCAGCAUUUGAACUUACUCGGGACGGACUUAUAAAGAAAACGAAAAAUCAAACACGAUGCAAUCAAAGAAGAAAAUAAAGAAAAUUAAUUGGCCUAGUAGUAUGAUUCAAGCAGGACGAUCCACAUAAUUAACUGUUCAAAUUAGUUUCAUUCUAAGAACUAGGAGAAAAAUAUAUGACUCACCACAAAAUUUAUAUAAAUUCUAACUCUGACUUCUACUUUAUCCAAAAAUCUCUAAUCAUGCAAUUGGUAACUAAAACAUGUAAAAGAAGUAUUAAUAUUAAGAUAAAUAUUUUAGCAUACUCUUGAAUUUAUUUUUGAAGGCCCGGGGUAGGUUCAAUGUUCAAUGUAUGCUUGAUUAAAUAUUCAAGGAACAUUAGCUCGCAAAUUGUACGUAUCAGUUUAUUAACUUAAUAAUUCAGGAAUAUUAUCUAACUCUUGAAGGGUUAUUCGUAGUUCUGACUCUAGAAUUUUUUUUGAGUUGAUUUGCCCUUAAAUGGGGGAACAUGGGAGCAUGGGAGAGGGCUCCCGAUCAAUAGCGUGAUGGGGAACGAAGAAGGCUGCGUACAGAAAAUAAAUGGGCUCUUCUUGUUUUCUAUUGGGCCUUACUUAUUGCCCAUCUCCUUAGGACCUUAGCGAAUCGUUUUCUUUCCACAAUUCCUCUUCUUAUCUUCCUCUCGACCUCGCCAUCAACGGAACACACAGGCAGAGCUUCUCUCGCCUCCCAUGGUGGUCACUGGCCUGCCCAAAGCAGCAGGGUACACUAGGUGUAAAAUUUUUACCCGGGGCGGCCGCCCCUACAUGACCCCACACUGGCGCCGCCCCUGGAGUCGAUUGCAGCAGAUCUCACGUAGGGGGUUCAGAGCUCAUAGUUUAGAUGCGAUGGUAACAGAGUAAGAGAUUUUGCCCAGGUUCAGGUUCUCCGAGGAGAUAAAAUCAUAUGUGAUAUGUCAUGCUUUGAAUUGAUUUCGGAUGGAGUACAAAGUAUAGGUUGAUUUGCCACGAGAUCGUUGAUCUGUCUAGAUCUGAUGAUUUAAGUUGUCAUAUCUACCGACUAGCCCGACCUAGGAUUACAAGAGUCCUAGUCGAUUACGUCAGUGCACAGGAGUCCUCCACGAAUAGGACUCCUUGUCUUGAACGGGAAGCCUUCUUGAUUCUUCUAGUAGAUUCCGCCCAAAGUGGCCUGCGACGGAACCGAGAAGAAAGUCCUCAGUCUGGCUCGCCUGACUGAGAGUUGACAUGGUGAGAGGUUCCAUAUCUUAGAAACCGUUAAAAGCCCCUGAACUGGUCUUCAAGUUUGGCCACACCUUGAGCUGCUCGUCGUCUUCGGCCGCCUACCUUAAAACUGGUUCAACGAAAUUUUUCCCCGAUCAAUGUCUUCUUGCAGACGAGUUUCAAUGCCGGACAUCAUCCGAUGUGUAGUAGACCACCUCGGUCUUGAAAAGUUAAAGUUUAGACGAGUUGCACUCCGAAAAAGUUUCCUGCGCAGCCAGCUGCUCGCAGCCGACAUCCAUGUCGGACUGCUUCCGAAGUGGUGUGUACCACCUCCGUCUUGAGUUGUCUAUGUAGAUGGCCAGCCUCCGUAGAAAAAAGUUUUCCGCCAAGCCGGUAUCCGCCAGCCGAUUUUAUGCAGAUUUUUUUUCGAUUAGUGUAAUUUAUUCACUUCUGAGAUAUGUAGGAGUAGCCCAAAAGAUGUGUGCCGGCCUAAAGCCCAUGAUGCAACCGAUGUAUAAAAUAAAACCACUAAUCCCAAUAGACCCCGGGACUGAGGUCAAUUCACUAAAUCGCCGCCAGGAUCUUAUUCUUGCUUGGUAGCAUACUUUUAGAAAAACUGUUGUGCGCGCAUGCGGCCAUGACGGAAGCCGCCCAAUGACGAUGGCCCCUGACUGGCACACAUUCGAUCCGUCAUAGACUUUCCAGCCGGGUCGUACAGUUCAGAGCCGUCUGGGAAGAUCAUCCUCAUCCUCGUGGGACGAACACAUCGAUAGGUGGCAGUGACUGGACUAUCAUGCGCGGGCCAGCGUGAGCAAGAUGAGUGCGGGCGCACCUGACACCGCGCAAUGACAGUCGCCCCGAGCUAACCCCACGGUCCACCCGUCAUGGACCUUCCACCCAGGUCACCCUGGUCUGAGCCGUCCAGGCAGAUCGGACGGCUCGAAGCCGUCCUGAGAGGCUCUCACCGCAAGCCAACCAAGAACAAUAGCCAGGAGCCUCUCUUCGCCCUCGACGAGCCCAGAAAGGCGGGUACUCCUACAUCCUUUAUAGGAGUAAUUAGAAGGGAGAUUGAAGUGCAAAGAGAUUUUCAACAUUGCGGUGAGGUUCUCCGUGAGGAACGAAGAAGACAAGGAAUACUGGCUAGUGAAAUAGCUUAAUAAAACUCCACCCUAUGCCAAGUACCCAGACCUACACUUGAUUGCUUCUGAAUAUGAAAUUUUGCUAAAUAUGUCUUCCAAGGAAACCUCAUCAAUUGUUGCCUUCCUCGGGAACCUCUCUAGGGUAGAGAAUGCCUCAUACGAAGCUCUCCUAAUUGACCUCACCCCGAUCCGUUCUCUUUGUGGAGCGAGAUGUCAUCGGCUAGGACCUUGAAGCGCCAGGUAGCUUCACAGUUUUUUUUUUUUGAGUUGAAGGUAUCUUCACAGUGAAGUCUGUGUACGUGAAACUGGUCCAUGGGCCUCCAAUCAGGUAUUCCAAGGCCCUUUGCCCCUCUUUGGUCCAACUAAGAAUCAAAAUCUUUCUAGCAAGCGGCCAGAGAUAGAUUCCCCUUGGCUACCAACCUCCAAAAACAACACGAGCAGGGAAUGGUCUCUGUGUCCUUUGCGCCGAUCCUGAAGACCCGAACCACAUUGUUUUUCUUUGCUUGCUGGCGAAAUUUCUUUGGUGUUGUAUCUGACAAAGUUUUUGGUGGUCUUGGGACCCUUCUUCUUUUCCAGACAUGUUCUCACUUCUUUCGGUCAUUCACAGCCAAUAACAUAGGCUUGCGUGGAAGGCCUCCGCCGCCUUAGCUUGGGUGCUUUGGACGUGUCGUGACAACCUAGCCAUCUAGGCUACCAUCCCUAACCGUCACGUUGACUACAUUUUUAAACAACAUAUCUUUUUUCAAUAGUGAAGCCCUCUGGGAAAGAGGAACAACUGCGAGGAGGCCAGAGUGGUGCUUAUAGUAAGAUCAAAGCGAUCCACACCAUCAAUAGACAAACCUCCUAAUCGGAGGGCCUAGCUAGUUUAGUUGAUUUCAUGUUAUAGUCCUUUUAUUUGGCUGCUCCAUGUUGAGUCCAACAUGUAACCAUAUACUAUGUUUGUUUAGGUGAACCAUAUACUAUGUUUUGUUGUUGUUCCUGUCGUGGUGUGACCUUGAUCUUUUGGCUUUAUUUUUUACAAUUUAUAAACCGGGCGCUACUAGCGCCUCCGUUUUAAAAGAACAGCUAGCAAACCACUCCUUGACAUUUCGUCUGGGCCGGCCGUUUUAAAAGAAGAGCUAGCAAGCCACACGUACUUUUUGAAGCCAUAUUGACCGGCUUCAGCAUGCAUCCAGACUCCAGAGUCGCGGAGAAGGACGGAUCGAUCGACAUUUGUUUGGCCUGCAUGCGAUCGAUGCGUGCGUGAGUGCUGACGUGGUGUAGUGCAUGGCGCCAGGUGGACGAUCGAGCUAGCAUGGUGAGUUGGUGACCUGUUUCACAUUUCGUCUGGGCAGUACGUACGUGAGUGACCCUUCUUGUUCUUGGUCUGCAAGGUGAUGUGCUCACGCAGUGACGCGACUUCCUUGUGAAACCAUGAGUCGAUUUUCAUUAGGCCUUGUUCAGUUUGGCAGGGUUUAAAGAGGUUUGAAAGGGAUUGAAGGGCCCCUUCAAUCCCUGUGGCAAGGGGAUUAACCAAACAUAACCUUAAGGAAAUCGCCAAAGGUCUUACAAUAAAGAGAGCAAAAGGCAACCCGUCAAAAAAAAAGAGCGCAAAAGGCAAAAAAUCAGGAAGACUAAAAAUCUGAUGUUAGAUUUUUAGACAUGGUAAAUCAAACGUUUUUCAUGAAAAUUUAUAUUGACGUGAUAGUUUUUUUGAUUAAAAAAAUGGACAGAGACAAAUAUGCUAUGUUGGCUAACUAAAUUUGCCAUCCUCAACGAAUACAAUUAUAUAUAAAAAAACAUCCGAUUUGCCAUCUCUAAAAUUCUGACAUUCCUGGAAUAUCCGAUUCCAAAAGAAUCUAAUAAAAAAACAUUCCUGGAAUUUCUGCCGGCCACGCAGGGCUCCUCAUGUCGUUCACGUUCCCGAUCCGGAUCUGCUGUAGCCGGGUGGGGACCUUUCCCGCAUUCGGUUCAUCGGCGGAACCGACAUGCUCGUCAAAUUUGGUGGCAGCCGUGAGGCAGUCUGGGGUGCUAGGGUUUCACCAUUCCCAUUUAGAGUCAUCAGCGAUGGAUGACGAAGUCUAUUCUGGCAGAUCUCGCGUAGGGGGUUCCGAGCUAGUAGUUUAGACGUGAUGGUAACAUAGACGAGAGAUUUUACCCAGGUUCAAGCUCUCUGAGGAGAUAAAACCAUGUCAUGCUUGUUGUGGAUUGCUUUGGAUGAAGUACAAAGUAGUGGUUUAUUUGCCACGAGAUCAUUGAUCUGUCUAGAUUUGAUGAUCUAAGUUGUCAUAUCUAUCAACUAGCCCGACCUACGAUUACAAGAAGCCUAGUUGAUUACGUCAGCGUGGAGGAGUUGUCCAUGAAUUGGAGUCCUUGACUUGAACGGUAAGACUUCUUGAUUCUUCUAGUAGAUUGCCAUGGGCCGCCCCAGGUGACCUAGGACGGAACCGACAAGGAGCUCCUCAGCCCGGCUCGCAUGGGAGGGAAUUGACAUGGUGAGAGGUUCCAUAUCCGAGACACUCUCAGUGGCUUCUGAAUCGGUCUUCAAGUCUGGCCACACCUCGUCUUUUCUGAGCUACUCGUCAUCUUCGGCAACCUGUCUUGAAACUGGUUCAACAUAAACUUUCCCCAAUCAGUGUCUUCUUGCAGCCGAGUUUCGAUGCCGGCCAACAUCCGAAGUAAUGUAGACCACCUCAAUCUUGAAAAGUUGAAGGAGAUUAGCCGAGUUGCAUGUCGGAAAAGUUUCCUACGUAACCAGUUGCGUGCAGCCGAACUCCAUGUUGGUCCGCUUCCGAAGUGGUGUGCACUCGGUCUUGAGUUGUCUACGUAAAUAAAUGUCUGGCUUCCCUGGAUUUUUUUCCGCCAAGCCGGUAUCCGCAAGCCAAUUUUUUGCAGAUUUUUUUUCGAUUCGUACAAUUUAUUCUUUGCCCAGAUAUGUAGCCAGUAGCCCAAGAGGCGUGUGCCGGCCUAAAACCCAGGAUGCUCUUGAAGUAUAAAAUAAAACAGCUAAUCCCAAUAGACCCUGAGACUCAAGUCAAUUCACAAAAUUGUCCCGAGGAUUGUACUCUUGCUUGGUAGCAUACAUUUAGGAAAAGCACAGUGUGCGCGCGUGUGGGCGUGACGGACACCGCCCAAUGAUGGUGGCCCUAGGCUGGCACACGGUCCAUCCGUCAUAGACCUUCCAGCCGGGUCGUCCAGGUCCGAGCAGUCCGGGCGAAGACGCCAAUAGUUGAGCCCAAUUGGACUGUCACAUGCGGGCCAGUGCGAGCAAGGCGCCCCACAGGCCUACCUGACGCCGCCCAAUGAUGGUGGCCACUGGGCGAGUCCUACGGCUUGCCCGUCAUGGACCUUCCAAGCAGGUCACAUGGGCCCGAGCCAUCCAGGCAGAUCGGACAUCUCGGAGCCAUCCUAAGAGGCUCCCACCGCAAGCCAACUGACAACAGAUCACCAGGAGCCCCUCUUCACCCUCGACGAUCCCUAAAAGGCCGGUACUCUAGCAUCUUUUAUAUGAGUAAAAAGAAGGGAUCUCAGAUUUUGAAUGGGAUCCUAGAGUGCAAAGAGAAUUGUAACAUUGGGGUGAGGUUCUCCGUGGGCAACGAAGAAGAUACGAAAUUAUGGCUAGUCAAAUGGCUUAAUCAAACUCCACCCUAUGCCAAGUACGCAGACUUGUUCGUGAUUGCUUUUGAAUAUGAUUUUUUGUCAAAGAUGUCUUCCAAGCCAAGACAACCUCAUCAAUCAUUUCUUUCCUCAGGAACCUUCCCGGGGUAGAGAAUGCCUCCUAAGAAGCUCUCUUAAUCGACCUUGCCCCGAUCAGUCUCUCUGUGAGAGAGAUGUCAUGGACUGGGACCUUGAAGCGCCAGGUAGCUUCACAGUUAACUCUUAUGUACGCGAAACUGCUCCAUGGGCCUCCAAUCAGGUAUUCCAAGGCCCUUUUGUCCUCUUUGGUUCAACUAACAAUCAAAAUCUUUCUAGCAAGUGGCCAGAGAUAUAUUCCCCUCGGCUAUCAACCCCCAAAGACAACACGUGCCAGGGAAUGCUCUUCGUGCUCUUUGCGCCGUUCUUGAAGACCCCAACCACAUUGUUUUUCUUUGCUUGCUGGCGAAAUUUGGUGUUGUGUCUGCCAAAGUUUUGGGUGCUCUUGGGACCCUUCUUCUUUUCCAGACAUGUUCUCACUUUUUUUGGGCAUUCAGGCCAAUAACAUAGGCUUGUGUGGAGGUCCUCCGCGGCCUUAGCUUGGGUGCUUUGGACGUGUCGUGACAACUUAGCCAUCAAGGCUUCACGUUGACUACAUUUUUAGACAACAUAUCUUUUUUGAACAAUGAAGCCCUCUGGGAAAGAGAAGAACUGCUAGGAAGCCAGAGUGGUGCUUAUAGUAAGGUAAAGGAGAUCCAUGCAAUCAACACACGAACCUCCUAAUCGCAGGGCCGGCCUGGGUUUGGUUGCUUUCAUGUUGUAGUCAUUUUAUUAGGCUGCUCCCUGUUGAGUCCAACAUGUAACUAUAUACUAUGUUUUGUUAGGCCAACCAUACUAUGUUUUUUUUUUUGUCAUGGCAUGAUCUUGUGGCUUUACUAUUUAAACCGGUAGCUGCUUACGCCUUUGUUUGAAAAGAACAGCCAGCAAACCACUCCUUGACAUUUCGUCUGGGCCGGCCGUGUGAUCCUUCUUGGUCUCCAAGGCGGCCGGUCUAGCCACAGGUAUGAGUUUCUGAAAUCAUAUUGACCAGCUUCAGCAUGCAUCCAGACUCCAGGGUCGCGGAGAACGACGGAUUGAUUGACAUUUUAUAGCCUGCAUGCGAUGCGUGCGUGAGUGCUGGCGGCAGGUGGACGAUCGAGGUAACCUGGUGACCUCCCUGGCAUUUCGUACGUCUGGGCAGUACGUACGUGAUCCUUCUUGUUCUUGGCCUGCAAGGCGACGUGGCCACAGUGACGCGACCUUCACUGGUGGAAAAAGGGCCUUUGGUCGCGGUUCGCAACUGCCAUUAGUCGUGGUUGCGCAACCGCGACUGGACGGGCGCGACUAAAGGCCCCCCCUUUAGUCGCGGUUGCUUAAGAACCGCGACUAAAGGCCCUUUAGUCGCGGUUCUUGUGGCUAACCGCGACUAAAGGCCGCCACAGGUUUUUGAAAAAAAAAUUGAAUUUUUUUUUUCAAAUUUCUGAAUUAUUUUAACCUCUAGUCUCUAAUCACCACCCCUCAUCACUUCUCAAUUUAUUCUUUUAUCACCCCUCAUCAUUUCAAAUCAUCUAACUUCCCAACCGGUCACCCAUCCCUCUCACUACUCCAGCCCAAGCACGCUUAACUUCCGGGUUCUAUUCUCCCACGCUCCAAGUCUGCACUUGUUGUUUUCCUGACAAUAAUAAGAUGUCAAUCCUAUUAACCUUCAGGAAUUUUGCUUGAGCAUGAAGUGACACAUUUCACUGUUUGAGUUUGAAACUAUUGUUUUAAAAAACAAUAAUUAUUUANNNNNNNNNNGGCCUUUGGUCGCGGUUCGCAACUGCCAUUAGUCGCGGUUGCGCAACCGCGACCAGACGGGCGCGACUAAAGGCCCCCCCCUUUAGUCGCGGUUGCUUAAGAACCGCGACUAAAGGCCCGUCCACGUGGGCGGAGGACCUUUAGUCGCGGUUCUUGUGGCUAACCGCGACUAAAGGCCGCCACAGGUUUUUGAAAAAAAAAAUUGAAUUUUUUUUUUCAAAUUUCUGAAUUAUUUUAACCUCUAGUCUCUAAUCACCACCCCUCAUCACUUCUCAAUUUAUUCUUUUAUCACCCCUCAUCAUUCCAAAUCAUCUAACUUCCCAACCGGUCACCCAUCCCUCUCACUACUCCAGCCCAAGCACGCUUAACUUCCGGGUUCUAUUCUCCCACGCUCCAAGUCUGCACUUGUUGUUUUCCUGACAAUAAUAAGAUGUCAAUCCUAUUAACCUUCAGGAAUUUUGCUUGCGCAUGAAGUGACACAUUUCACUGUUUGAGUUUGAAACUAUUGUUUUAAAAAACAAUAAUUAUUUAGUAACACUAAUAUUUCUUGAAUAAUUAGUUUGACCAUUGUUUGACCACAGUUUGACCACAGUUGACCACAGUUUGACCAGAUUUGACCAAAAUUGAAAUAAUUAAAAUAAUUAUUUAGUAACACUAAUAUUCUAGAAUAAUUAGUUUGACCAUUGUUUGACCAUAGUUUGCCCACUGUUUGAAUAUUUUUCAAUUUUUUCCACUCUAGAUCUUACAAGCCCCGUAACUUUUUUUCUAUUAGGUUUUUGAGGAUUUUGAAAAUGUUUAACGGGGUUCCCCCCGUUAAAUUUGGAUGUAACUUUUUGAGUAGAUGAUUUUUCAUAUAAAAAACUUUUUCAUCCGAGUUAGUAUGCAAAAGUUAUGCCCAUUUUUACAAAUUUCAGAGAGAUUUUGCAAAUAAAGUCAAAAUUCACAUUUGCAAAUUUUCCCAACAACUAGACCACAUAUCACAUGAGAAACUUAUUUUCUUUUAUUUUUUUGACAUUUCCAUUAUUUUCUUUUAUUUUUUUUAAAACUGAAAAGGCGAUCCAGGGGGGGGGGUAGAGUUUGAAAAUGGGACCUUUAGUACCGGUUCGUGGCACGAACCGGGACUAAAGGUCUCAACCCCAUUAGUUCCGGUUCGUGCCACCAACCGCGACUAAAAUGGAGGAGCUUUAGUNNNNNNNNNNNNNNNNNNNNNNNNNNNNNNNNNNNNNNNNNNNNNNNNNNNNNNNNNNNNNNNNNNNNNNNNNNNNNNNNNNNNNNNNNNNNNNNNNNNNNNNNNNNNNNNNNNNNNNNNNNNNNNNNNNNNNNNNNNNNNNNNNNNNNNNNNNNNNNNNNNNNNNNNNNNNNNNNNAAAGGCCUUUGGGCACCUUUAGUCGCGGUUGGCCUGGCCAACCGCGACUAAAGCCCGCGAGCGCCCUGGGCCCAGGCAUUUGGUCGCGGUUCAUCUGCCGAACCGCGACUAAAGACUUCAUUAGUCGCGGUUCCUACAGUUUCGCGACUAAUGGGGCUGGACGGAAGCCUCUUUUUCUACCAGUGCUUUUUCUUUUCUUUCUGAAACAACCAGUCGAUUUUCGUUAAAGAAACUGCCAAAUGUCAAUGCAAAGGGAGCAGAAGGCAAAUAAAACUUAAUAAAAAAAAACUUAAACAGCGUAGUUUUGGCGAGGCAGGGAGAAUAUGCAAUUUCCCAUUAAGUUUUUCAUCCCAUACUACUCCCUCCGUUUGGAAAUACUUGUCUUAGAAAUGAUUGUAUCUAUUCUAGAUACAAUUAUUUCUAAGACAAUUAUUUCCGAACGAAGGAAGUAAUGUUUAGUUACGUGCCAGGAGCAAAGCAGGAAUAGCCUCACAAAAGCACGGGGCAUGCGCUUGGUGACUAGGAGAAGAUCAUCAAGCAGAAGCGUCGGCGACAGCACAUACGCAACCAGGGAGUGCAGCCUGCAGCGCACCCCUGCCCCUGGCCACUGGCGAACUGGUCCGGUCACUCACGCGCAAACGGCGACGAGGACUACCAUGACGGCGACGGCGCACACGGCAGAGCGCUGUUGGGUCUAACCCUAACUAGCACGAACUAGUUUUGAGGAACAGAUCAUAGACAAAAAAAGGAUACGAUGGAGAUGUAUUUCUGACAACGAACCACAACACCGAACGCCCUCUUUUCUCUGUUAUAUAUAUAGCUGGACAAACCAGAUCGUAUCUUGAAUCCUAACCAUCUACGCAUAACAACCUGGACUAACAAACCAAAUCACCGCCGGCUUUGUAUCACACGGGACGCACCUCCCAAGCUUCCUUUCCUACGCACGCACGUACGAGCGCCCAGGGACUCGCUCGCCUACGCCGUCCUCUACUACGCGUUCUGACGCGUCCAGCCGCGACUGCUGCUAACUGACUACGACCUAAACAUGAGCACAGACUCGACACGCACCCAACACACGCACACUCGCCAUGGCGUCCGGUACGACCAACAUGCACGCACACACUGGUCACCACCACCACCGUGUCUUACUCCUAACAACCUCCCCCUAAGACACGACCUAUAGUAAGGUCGGCUCGUCGUCGAUGUCGGUGAGGAGCGCCUUUUCCUUCUUCGGCUGCCGGCAGUCACGGGAAAAGUGGCCACGAACGCCACAGUUGUAGCACUUCCCGCGCCGCCGUCUCGUGCCCGAAGCCACGCUGCUCGCACCGUCGUCGUGGUCGAGGAUGCCGCCGCGAUGACGCUGUCGUGCCUCCGACUGGGCCUCCAUGAACAUCAGCUGAUCGCCGCCUCAUCCGCCGUUGUCCUGCAUGCGCCGACGUAAGCGUUCGUUGAACGCCUUGAGCCUACUCAACGCCUCCUCGAACGCAAUCGUCUCCAUGUCGCAGAACUGUUCGAUCCCGGCCACCGCGGCAUACAACCGAUCGGGCACCGUGUCGAGCAGUUUUUUCACCAUGGUGGCGUCGCCGAGCGUCGAGCCGAGGCCAGCAUACCUUUCUGCCAUGCCGCCGAUCUUGCCGGCGUACGCGUCCAGCGCCUCCCCCUCCUCCAUGCGCAGGUUGUCAAACUCGCCACGGAGAGUGGAGAGCCGCGCCGCUUGGACCCGAUCGGCACCGACGAACCUCAUCUUCAAGCAGGCCCACACCUUAGCCGCCGUGUUCUUCGUCGAUACCUGCAUCAACAGGUCUUCGGAGAGCGCACCGAACAGCACCGCCCUCGCCGUCUUGUUUUUCCCCGCGUCGACCGUCGCGUUGCCGGCCGGCGGCACCGCUUCCCAGAGGUUCUGGGCGUCGAGGAUGGCUUCAGCCUUGAUCGUCCACACCGUGUAGUUGUCCGGUGUGAGCAUCGGCAUCGGCAUCGACACCGUGCUACCCCCUGCGCCGUGCGGGACGAUCGCCAUGGCCACGAGUACAGGAACAAACGAGGCUCUGAUACUAAUUGUUGGGUCUAACCCUAGCUAGCACGAACUAGUUUUGAGGAACAGAUCGUAGACAAAGAAAGAAUACGACGGAGAUGUAUUUCUGGCAACGAACCACGGCGCCGAACACCCUCUUUUCUCUGUCAUAUAUAUAGCUGGACAAACCAGAUCGUAUCUCAAAUCCUAACCAUUUACGCAUAACAACCUGGACUAACAAACCAAAUCACCGCCGGCUUUGUAUCACACGGGACGCAGCGCCCAAGCUUCCUUUCCUACGUACGCACGUACGAGCGCCCAGGGACUCGCUCGCCUACGCCGUCCCCUACUACGCGUUCUGACGCGUCCAGCCGCGACUGCUGCUAACUGACUACGACCCAAACGCACGCACACACGCACACUCGCCAUGGCGUCCGGUACGACCAACAUGCACGCACACACUGGUCACCACCACCACCGUGUCUUAUUCCUAACAAGCGCGACAUGUCCGUCCAUCAAGGUCGCGCACGUAUGCACGCGUUUCUUGAGCGACAGCUGACAAGCGAAACGGCGAUAGGAGUUGAGCUAGCUAGCUAGCCAACACCCUGACAUUUCUUCUCAAGUCCUUGUCGAGCGCCACACGAGUGCCCUAUUGGCUAGUUUCAGCACAUCCACGGUCCGACAUUUUUUGGGGUGCUGGCGUAGUGCGGGCGCACAUGUCCGGUGACGCGCAAGUGAACAACUGCAGUUGAUUUCUGGCUUUUGGCACGAGCUUGCGACACACGAGGGUGGCAGGUGAUUGAAAAGCCCCCGCUCGGAACCACGCUGAAUAUAUAUAUUCUCUUGGGUAAAGUUUCUCUGUAGCUCAGACUACAUGGAAUCUCUUGUCUUCAUCCCUCCAGUAUUACUUUGAGAUCUGUACUCUUCAACUAACUUACAGCAAGAAGAUUUCUAUUUUUUGUUUACUUCAAACUUUGCAGAUCAAACAAAAUUUACAACUUCAAUGUCUGAAAAAACUUUCAAUUUUUUUGGACCAACAUAAAUAUACAACAUAAGGAUUUUUUUGAUUAAAAAAUAAAAUUUAGCAUUUAAAAUGCAUGAAAAAAUCUGAAAGUUUUUUCCCACAUAGUAAUUAGAAUGUUUUGUUGUCUUGCAAAGUUUGAAGUUUAUACGUUGUUUCGUUUGAGAGAAACAAAAAUGACAAAUAUGCCUGCACGGAUCAUGAUGCAAAAAUGAAUGGCUAAGAUAAGGGGUACCACGUAGCUUGAGCUACACAUGAGAAACAACAUUGAUACUUUAGUAUGCACUCCCUUUGAUUCAAAUUAAAGUUUGCCUCAAUUAAUAUGGACUGCAGGGAGUAUCUUCUUCGCAAAAGGAGGGUGCGUAUACUCCCGGCCUUUGCAUGAGUGGAUGCACACAACAAAGUAUAGGCUAUACAUAUAUAGCUUGUAUAUACCGGCGUAAAUCUGGUGAUUCAUCAUUUUUUUACGUUCUCUUUCAGAAACCAUUCAUAGAUCUGACCAGAUUAAAUCACCUUGUAGUCACAGAGAGUCGCCCACAAUGCUUGGAUGGAAAUUCAUCAAAUGGCGAUGCCAAUGCCGAUGCCGAUGACUUGCGGUUUAGACUUCAGAGCUUCAUAUGAAUGCAUGCACUCCACGACAGUCAACAUACUUAUCUUACGUACACGGGGUGGAUCGUUGUCGCAGAAAACCCAUUGCAACAACGGGUGACAAGGACACCACCACCUGCUCCAUGACUUGUGUCUAUUGUGAUUUCACUUUCAUCGACUUGUUUUUUCAAGAAAUUUUUGUGUGCACCUUGAUAUCUUCCUUUCUUCUCCAAACCGAGGCUGUGAUGAAGAAAAAAGAAGGAACAUAAAACAAAAGACAACCAGAGAUAGCGACUUCCAAACAACACAUGAAGUCUUCCCGCAAAAAAAAACAUGAAGUCGGAAUAUCAUCUCCCCUCUAUCUCGGUAAGAGUAACACUGUUCACGGAGUCUGAAUAUCAUCUCCAAUUUGCACCGCUUCAACGCUCCGUCGCACAAAGUAUGCAGGGCGAUCUGGGGCUGGAAGUGUGGUGCUUCCGUUCUCUAGGACGAAGACAACUGAUGACAUGAGGGACCUAUCAUGCGGGUUGUCUUGGACACACAAUAACGCUACAUGGAUGCAAAGCAAAACUUCGUCUAGUGAACAAGUGUCCAUGAUCAACGAGUCUGGCAGUUUCUCUGUGUCCCCUUCCUUCCACAUAUUCCAAGACUUGAAAUAACCAAGGACAUCGUAUUAUUUUUGUUUCGUUUGUUGAUGAAAAUAGAACUUGAGAGAACUCUUGUGUAGAUACUCACAUAGAGUAUGAGGCUGGGGAAGCCCAUCGUUUGACUGUUGGAGUUCCUCCUAAUGCCGGUUACAACCUCCAAUAGCACCACACCGAAGCUAUAGACAACAUUCUUGGUAGAGAAGACACCUUCCAUUGCGUACUCAGGAGCCAUGUAACCACUGCUUGAUUAUUUUGAUUGCAAAAGUUAAUGUAUUAGAGCACAAUUGAUUCAAAAUUUAAAUGAUGUUUCAAAGGAUACUCUCUAUGUUCCCACAACAUGUUGGGUAUUUGCAUUUUGUUGGUUAUCUCCAAAGAUCCUUGCCAUUCCAAAAUCUGCUAUCUUUGGUUUCAUCUCUGCAUCUAGCAAAACAUUCCAACUUUAAGAUCUCUAUGAAUUAUGGUUAAUCUUGAAUCUAGGUGCAGGUAAAGAAGUCCCCUUGCAACUCCUUUGAUUAUACUAAACCGUGUUUCCCAAUCUAGCAACAUUUUUCUUGAAUCAUCUGUAUACAGAAGGAAAGGUGAGCAUGAUUUUUUGAGUAGUUUUUAGGGAAUCAUGGUGUGUUUUUAUAAUAUGUACCGAAAAGGGUGGCAUCUAAGCUCUUGUUUGGUAAAUACUCAUAAAUUAGAAGUUUUUCAUUUCCCUCCGCACAACACCCGAGCAGUUGAACCAAGUUUAUAUGCUGCAAUUUGGCAAUUAGAAUUACUUCAUUCUUGAACUCCUUUGUUCCUUGUUUAGAAUCCCUACUCAGCCUCUUGACGACAACUUCUUGACCACCUAACAAUCCCUGUAGAAUUUAAAGGUAAAACCUAGCUGUCCAUUACAUUAGCUUCCAAAUCUCUUGAUUAUAGAACGAAUGAUCGAUUAUUACCAAGUGUGUUACCUUACUUUGCCAAAGCCUCCUUGUCCUAUCACACAUGUUUCAGAGAAAUUGUGUGUUGCUAGUGCAAUUUCCUCAAAUGUUACAAAUGGGAAUUCAUGAUUGUGUUCAGGGUGUACUUCACCAAGUUCAUGUGAGGUACUCAUUGGAUCCAACAAUACAUUCUUGUGGUUUCUCCCAUUUUCUUUCUUGCCUGCAUUCACAAUGUAUAACAAUUUCACCUCGAAAAUGUUUAUGAUAGACAUAGAAAAAACAAGUUGCUUUACCCCUAAAUUCACUUGUGUCAGUCUAUUAUUUCUGUUAUGAACUAAGAAAAUUUAGAGAAAAUAAUAUAUGGUCUACUUCUCUCCUUGUGGAAACCAUCGAGAUGACAAUGUGGUCAUCGCUUGACAUAUAAGAUAAAUUACACAUGUUAGAAGAAACAUAAAUUCUCCCUGGAUUAAACACGUCAAUUUUCGAGUCCAUAAUAUUGUGGUCACACAUCACACUUGUUUCUUGAACCAUCUCCAUGUUGAGUAGGUUUCUCUAGCAUACACUUGUAAUUUUUCAAUCUUACACUUGAGUCCAAGGUUAAAAACAGCGCUAGGCUUAGAGGAGGACGUUAUUCGCUCUAGUUUUAUGCGUGGAUGUCAAUAUUUGUAUGCCAAACGUACAUUACAAUAGUAAGCGCGAAACUUAGGGAAGCAAAUGUGAACUACCUUUGUAGUGGAAAAACACUAAGCGUACCUCUGAAUUUGAACCAUGCCAACGAAAUGCAUAUGAGCACUAUAACACUGCUUCCUAAAACUGGUAGCACAAUCUUAAUUGCAUUACUCUUUCUUCUUUUACCUGUGCAAGACAUGAGCCGAUACAUACCAUAUAAAAACAAUAGUGACAGUUUUCUAGCGUAGGAGAAAUAAAUUUCCAGAGGUGGAGGGGUUUGGCACCAGAUGUUGCAUUCAGUCCUGCAAGUCGGAGAUAGAGCGUGUCACUCCCCAACUCUUCACCUAUUUUCCCUGUGUCAAGCAACUCCCCGGACCAGACCAAGCACCUCGUCAUGUUUCUCUUGGACCCGCUGCUGCUUAAGUUGGCAUGUGAGUAUGCAACACAGGAGCAGUUGUGGUUGCAUUCUGUUGCACACUCCUCAAAUGUACUCCUACCGCCACCGACAAGCGAAUACUUGUCGGGCGACUUCAUCCCUGGCAAGGCCAAGAAGCCAUCAUUGCACCCUCGUAGUGGCUCCAUUCGUUGGCACCCUGCUGAAAAUUUUCCACCUGUCCACUCCACCGUGUUUGCUGGCUCGAAGCCGUGGAGGCACUUUUUUUGAGGGGUAAACUUGCCGCUGCUUUAUUAACUAAUUAAAGUUUGGGAUAUCAUCCGAAAUAACAUGUAAAAUAAAAUCAGGGGGAGACUGAAGCCAUGUCUCAGAUCUCCCCUCUCCUACAGCUACUCUAGCGAGUUUAUGCGCAGCGACAUUAGCUGACCUUCUUACCCAAGAAACUUUGAACUCUAAAAACGAGUUGAGCAUGUCCUUGAUUUCUUGAAUCCAGGGACCAACUGCCGAUAAAGCCUUCUCCUCCUGAAGAAUCGUCCUCACCAGCCCUUGGCAGUCCAGCUCGACAUGGACCCUCUCCGCAUGCAAAUCAGUAGCGAGUUGGAGAGCAUGCCUACACGCGAGGGUUUCCACUGCUUCCGGAUCUGACAUGUUUGGAAAAAAAUGACAGAAGCCAGCCCGGAACGCUCCAUCUUGAUCCCGUAGGACCGCACCACCUCCCCCCUUGUCCCCAUGUCUCGAAACCGCACCAUCCGAGUUAAUCUUCAGCCAACCAUCAUCAGGAGGUUUCCACUUCUCAACAAUCUUGGGGACCGGCUCGCGAAUCUUUGCUGCAUGAAUCCGCCUCCAUUCCUGCAUAUGAUCAUACAUGGACAUCAUUAUUUCAUGUGGGGAAGCGAUCUUUUUCCCAUCUCUAGCCUCAUUACGCGCUAGCCAUAGGCCAUAAACUGACUGUAUCAUCGCCUCCUUCUCCUCGUCGGCUGCCCCCGCGAACCAUCCCAACAGCCAGCUCGCUGAUGCACUAUGAGAGUUCAUCGGACUCGGUGGGAUCGCCACCGAAACUCCCUUUUCCAACUGCAUCAACUGCCAGAAUUGUGAUGAAUGUUGACAUGUCCAGAAUCUGUGAUGGAUCGUCUCCUCUCUACCACAUGCAACACAAAAAAUGCCAGGUUUUAUCCGACGACGGUGAAGUUCCGUGCCUACAGCCACACCAUUCCUGAUAACUCUCCACAUGUGAAUCUUUGCUUUGCCCGGUGCAUUUGUGCUCCAUAGUCCCAUGUACCCUUUAUGGCCUUUGACAGAGCUAGAGUGACCCGGCUGUCCGGUCAUCGCUCUUUGCAUUGACAUCCUGAGAUGAUACGCGGACCUAACGGUGAACACACCAUUCUUGGUGUAAUUCCAAGCCAAGAAAUCAUCAAUCCCCGGCCCGCCCAGAGCAACCUGUAAGAUAUCACGUGCAUCCGUCGGGGUAAACAUCUCCUGGACCUUAAGAGCAUCCCAGGUCGUUCCAUCUGGUGACAGUAAGUCCGCCACCCUGGUUAUACCCUGCAUAUAUGUUUGUCCAAGAGGGUGCAUACAUCCCGCUCGUGGAAUCCACUUGUCAUGGUGUAUGUUGACCCUAGAGCCAUCCCCAAUCCUCCAAACCAGGCCUUCUUGGAGCAAGUUUCUGCCAUGCAGGAUACUUUUGAAAGUGAAAGAACCGGCCGACGGGCUAGUGGCCGUCAUGAUAGACUGAUUUGGGAAGUACCUCGCUUUGAGAACCCUUGCACACAAAGAAGUUGGUACGUGCAAAAUGCGCCAUGCUUGCUUUGCCAAAAGGGCUUGGUUGAAGGCCUCGGGGUCACGAAAUCCCAGUCCUCCAUAGCUUUUCCCUAAACACAUCUUUUCCCAAGCAAUCCAAUGUACUUUCCUUUCACCAUUCAUUGCUCCCCAUCAGAAUUUUGAAGAGAUAGAAUUCAGAUUCCCGCAUGUUUUCUUUGUGAGUUGAAAGCAACUCAUGGUGAAUGUUGGUACAGCUUGAAGUCCAGACUUAACUAGCACUUCUCUUGCAGCUUUGGAGAGCCCUUGACCUUUUAUCCCAUUAACUUUGCCCUUAGAGCUCUCCAUGACAUACUUGAAGGCGCCUUCUUUGGAUUUGCCAACCAGUGUUGGCAAACCCAAAUACCUCUCACUCAGUGCCUCCAAAGAGACGCCCAAUAGCUCCUUUAGCUCAGCCUUGUCCUCAUCAGAACCCCCUUUGCCAAAGAAAAUCGAUGAUUUUUCUAGAUUCACUUUUUGGCCAGAGGCCAUUUCAUACUCAUGCAAGAUCUCCUUCAAGGUGUGAAUAUUAUCAUGUGUUCCUUCUAAGAAAACAAUACUAUCAUCCGCAAACAGUAGGUGUAUUACAUGGGGGCCAGUGCCUCCAAACGCCACCCCUUUUAUUCUGUUUUCGCCUUGAGCUUUUUUUAGAAGCGCCGAGAAACCUUCCACACAGAAAAGGAACAGGUAGGGUGAUAGAGGGUCCCCCUGACGUAGUCCUCGUGAAGGAGAAAAACCCCUUGAACAUCCCCCAUUCAGCUUGACUGAAAACACCGCUGAUCUCACACACCUCAUUAUCAUAGAUACCCACUCAGGGGCAAACCCAAAACGCAACAUCAUCCGCUCCAAGAAGGCCCACUCCACUCUGUCAUACGCCUUCAUCAUAUCAAGUUUCACUGCACAUAAAGGUUUCUUCCUCUUUCUCUUCCGGAUCGCAUGAACACACUCGUAUGCAACCAAAACGUUGUCCAUAAUGAGUCGUCCCGGGACGAAGGCGCUCUGCUCUUCAGAAAUAAGAAUCGGGAGAAUGCCUUUAAGCCUGUUAGCUAGAACCUUCGUGGCAAUCUUGUACAAAACAUUGCAUAGGCUUAUGGGACGGAACUGGGACAACAGCUCCGGUGAGUUGACCUUGGGAAUCAUCACAAUCACAGUUGCAUUAAAAGUGGUCGGAGCUGUAGCCCCACUCAGACACUCGCGAACAGCUCUACACACAUCCUCUCGGACCAACAACCAGUGUCGUUGAUAAAAGAGGGCAGGUAGCCCGUCCGGUCCCGGGGCUUUUGUUGGUCCCAUCUGGAAUAAAGCUGCUUCUAUCUCCUCAUCCGAGAUUUGCGCAAUCAGCUUGUCAUUCAUGUCGCCCGUGACCACCUCUUGUAUGUUUUGAAGGAGUGCUUCAGCUCCGUUUGAUCCCUCCGUUGAGAAUAACUUCUCAUAGAAGCUAGCUGCUAGUUCAUGCAUCUCCUCGUCCACUGUACAGCGAGUGCCAUCGUCCUUUCGUAGCGCUUUCACCGUAUUUUUACGCUUUCUGUGGGUAGCUCAGUUUUGGAAGUACUUCGUGUUCUGGUCGCCCGCUGACAGCCAACCAACCCGAGACCGCUGACGGUACAUGAUCUCCUCCCAUUCGUAUGUUUCACGCAGUUGUUCUUCGAUUUCCCGGAUCUCCAGUGAGACCCCGGUUGUUGCAGCCCUAGUUUUUGCCUCAGCCAGCUGGCCUUUCAGUUUAGAAAUUUUCCGUCUUAUCGAGCCAAACACCUCGCGCGCCCACCUUUGCAUGCUCCUAGAUAGAGUGCCAAGCCGCUGCCAAACAGCAGCCAGGUCGUGCUCCCCCGUACUCGAUGCCUCCCACGCUUCCUUCACCAUCUCAUCAUACUUCUCAUGUCUUGUCCAUGCCUCCUCAAAUCUAAACGGUCUGUCCACUCUUUCAAGGUGCCGUGGAGCUGUCUCCAGUGCCCUCACGAGGAUAGCUUGAUGAUCGGACUCCUCUGUGAUAAUGUGCUCCACCAAUGUCUCCGGGAAAAGCUCAAGGAAAGUAUCAUUGCAUGUGGCUCUGUCCAGCCUUACCUGAAUGUUCUCCCCUCCGUCUCUUUUGUUAUCCCAGGUGUAUGGGUAUCCCGAGAAGCCCAAAUUUGCCAUCCCGCACUCCGUCAGACAAUCGCGAAAGUCCUCCAUCUGACUGAAACUUCUUUGGUUUCCUCCAAUGUGAUCCGACUGGAAGAGAGCCUCAUUGUAGUCCCCCGCACAUAACUACGGCAAGUUGUCUUGACUUGCGAGAUAUCUGAUGGCGUCCCACGACUUCUUGCGUAGCUCGGUUCUGGGCUCACCGUAGAAUCCAGUGAAUCUACAUGCUUUGCCCUCCCAAGAUAAUUCUGCAUCAAUGAAGUAUUGGCACCAAGGCCUCACCGUUGCACUUACAUCAUCUCUCCACCACAAUGCUAAUCCUCCACUUCGACCCACACAGUCCACUGCUACACCGUUCUUAAAACCAAGACUCCACUUCAAUUUCUCCAUCGCCCUUGCUUUCUUUUUUGUUUCACAUAGAAAUACCACCACUGGGUUGUAUGACCUAACGAGGUCCCGGAGUUCGCCAACUGUCGAGGUCAACCCCAACCCUCGACAGUUUCAGGCCAAAAGAUUCAUGGCGUCCGGCGGCCCCGCCUCGCAGGGUCCGCCUCAUGGUUGUUCUCAGAAAUACGAUCAAACACUGUCGACGUCUUGCGUCGCAUCUCGCGAAUGAACGCAUCAUUUGAUGUCAGUCUGUCUGGAUCAUCCUUUGCCACCCAAAUUUGCCUCGGGCCUCUCUUCCUGCUCUCCUGAUCCACCCUUGGGUUUCCCCUAUGGUGGCGGCCAUAAUCAUAUUCAGGGCGUGGCUUCCUCACAUACGUACCCCUUCUCUUGUCCCUUGGGUCCCGAGCCCUGGAGCCAGUGCCCCAAACCCCGUCAGCCCUGCUGUCUGUCUCGUUAUGGUUAUCUCCAAACCUCACAUCCUCCUUACCCUUCCUCUGCCUAUCCCAUUCAUAUGUAUCAUACCCAUGCUGCUGUUCAAACAGCUUGUUCCUCAACUCCCUCUCUCUCCUUUGCUCUAAGCCAUGGCGCAGAUCAUCUUCCCCUGGCGGGGCAAACUUGGUGUUGCCCUUAUGAGGACUUGUUACUUCCGUUUCACCUUUUUCUCGGUCGCGAUCCUCGCCAGUGCGCUGGUCCGCUGUUCCAUUGAAGUCUCCGUAUAAGCUCCGCUUGACAGGAGCUUCUGUUUUCUUAUAGCCUGAUCGCCCGGCGUCUACAUGUCCUUUACCCUUGGGAUCGAUAUUUCCACUGCUGCUGCUNNNNNNNNNNNNNNNNNNNNNNNNNNNNNNNNNNNNNNNNNNNNNNNNNNNNNNNNNNNNNNNNNNNNNNNNNNNNNNNNNNNNNNNNNNNNNNNNNNNNNNNNNNNNNNNNNNNNNNNNNNNNNNNNNNNNNNNNNNNNNNNNNNNNNNNNNNNNNNNNNNNNNNNNNNNNNNNNNNNNNNNNNNNNNNNNNNNNNNNNNNNNNNNNNNNNNNNNNNNNNNNNNNNNNNNNNNNNNNNNNNNNNNNNNNNNNNNNNNNNNNNNNNNNNNUUCCUUUACAUUGCUGUUUCUACCCGAUGAAGCUCUGAGCCACUCGCCCCAUUGGAGCGAUGAGUCAAUCAGCGGGUCACAUCUUCCCCCUAUGUGCACCAAUCUUCCAUACUCAAAACAGAAGUGUGGUAUCUUUUCAUAAUGAAAGUCAAACCAGGUGCGAGCCUUGUCGUCCAGUGACGCUCUGAGGUAAAAUCCUCGGACUAGCGGUUCAUAAACAGAAAUUUUUGGAGGCACUUGCAUGUCGCGACGGGCACUGAUGUCUCAUCGCAGUACCCGUACAUGCCGCAAUAGCCGUAGUGGUUGCAUUCGAGGGACAACCAUUUCCCAAGAACUACCCAUGCCGAUGUAUUACUACUCCAGCUCUGGAUUUGGAACUCGCCAAAGUAGGUCAGCACGUACCUAGUGUGUGGGGCACCAUCAGAGACGUUGUAGGUAGUAUAGAUCUCAUCGUCGCCAUCGACUACCGCCAAGUAGAUGAUAACAUCUGCACUGCCAUUUGCCUGCUGGUAUCGAAGCUCGCUCUUCACCAGGUACCCCGUCCAUGGAGCGCUACGGGACACCGGACGCUCCCCGUCCCAUAAGAAUAUUUGAGGGAAUGCGCUUGUGUCGCCACCAUAGGAGAAGCGCCCCGGCGAAGGGUCACUAGGACCCUUCCAGGAUACCAGGCGGUCGCUGGUUCCAUUUUGCAUGUACUUGAACCGGAGCUUCAUGCCAGGAAGGAAUGUGUCGGUGUGGUGCUCGAAGCUCUGCCACAACGUGGUGCCGUUUAGCGAGCGGAUGACGAGGUCGCCGGUGUUUAGAAGCACUGCCACAGGGGUAGACGAGCCCAUGGCAGCACCCAUGUUGGUCGUUGUCCAAAUGACACGGCCACCGCCAUCACCAUCUGAUAGAACAAGAUUGGAGGAGUUGGUGAGGGAGAGCAUCGGUGAAGUCGUGUUGCUGGCCGGGUUUUCUCGGUUGGCAACCCACACCACGGUGAGCUCAGGGGUGUUGUUGUACCAGAUGCCGAGGUACAUCUGUGUCGGGGUGUUGGAUUUGGACAGGGAGAAAAAGCCUAAUGCAAAGGACCUCCGUCGGAGACGAUGGUGGCGUCAGGGGACAGUGUUUUGCCGGGUACAAGCCGGUCUUCGGACGCUCUCAAUGGCAGGAAGAUCAGAAGUAUCAACACUCCUAUCCUAGUGAAGCAUGGGAAAGCCGGCCAAUCCAUCGGUAGUUGAGGCCAGAAUUGAUACUGCUAAGUGGGUGUCUUGCAUUGAGGUUUGAUCACAAGCAAGAAAAUGGUUCGAAGAAGGAGAACGACAAGUUCCAGCAUCUAUUAUCUAUCUAUAUACAUGUUCGAUUCCGGAAGCAGAUGCUUCAAUAAUUCAAAGUCUUUUGGACAGGAGCAGUUGAGAGUGUGUUGGAUGGAGUUGACAUCUCAGCUGUCCACGUCGGAGUUGGGAUGCCACUGUCACUGCUGACUAGUCAGGCUAGUGACUGAAAUAGUAAGCAAUACCGCCACCUUGUUAGAAAAUAAAACUAUAUGGUUAAAUUAUAAAGCAUGAUUAUUAUGCCAUAGUAAAUCUUGAAAUUUAUCAUUUGUUAUUUUUAUUUCUGAGAUCGUUCGCGGGUGAACCAUAGUAAAUCACCUUGAAGACCUGUUCCUGAUAAUUGGCGGGAAUUCCACCACGUUUCCAAUAUUGAAUCGACCUGAUGCUGAAGGCAUGUCUUGGUCCCUGUGUGGUGUUGUACGCCUUGUGCCUAGUCAGGUUUUUCUUUUAACUUUUUUGUUCAUGGAAUGCUGUAGCACUAGUAUCGACUAUUAAUUUGUAUUGAUUCCGGUGAGAUACCGAGAAAAGGAUCAAACUGUACAAUGAUGGCGGCAGCGCCCUCUUUGAGUUCAUCGUUUGUUUGUUUAUUACUAACGCUUUUGCUGUGAGCUGUCUAUUUUCGUUGAGGGCAACCACACACAUUACAUUAACCAAAUAACAGAGUACAUACAUGUCAGAUUUCGAAAUUGAUACAUAUUUGAAAGAUCAAAGUGCCGUUAAGAAUCAAAGUCUCAAUGUUGUUUGUUCACAAAGAGGUGAUUCUGACUAAGGAUAGCUUGGCAAAGCGUAAUUGGGAGGGGAGUCAACGAUGUUGCUUUUGUGAUCAAGAUGAAACUAUUAAACAACUUUUUUUCGAUUGUCCGCUGGCAAAACUAUUAUGGCGUUCAAUUCAUAUAGCCUUUAAUAUCACCCCUCGAAAUAGUAUUCACACGUUAUUUGGGACGUGGCUAAAUGGAUUAGAGCUAAAUACCGCGAGACAUAUUCGGAUAGGAGUAUGCACAUUACUUUACGUUGUAUGGAACUGCAGAAAUGAUAUGAUUUUUAACAGACAAACUCGUAUAAAUUUUUUGCAGGUUAUCUACAGGGCCACUGUUCGGAUCCAUAUGUGAUCAUUAGUCAAUCCUGCGGAAGUCAGGGAGCCUUUGGUUACUGGGUCUACCCGAUGAGAGAUGAUAGCACGGGAUAUCUAUAACCGGUUUGGAUGAUGGUCCAAUAGGCUAGUUGUUUGAGAGUAGCGUUUCGAUGCUCAGACUCAUCUACAACCUGUCAGAAAAAAGUCAAAAAAAUACUAGAAAAUUCAAAAAAUUCCAUUUUAUUGCAUGAUAGAAAAUUUCUUGCGUGAGUUCCGCUUCAAUUUUUAGAUCAUUUGGACAUCUUAAUAGCUCUCAGCAAAAAAGAUAAAUCGGAUCAGAACAGUGCAUGAACAGUAAGCUUUUUACAUUUCCCAAAUUCGUCUAUUUUGCUGAGAGCUUCUCAGGUAUCCAAAUAAUUUGAAAAUUGGAGCAAACUCAUGCAUCAAAUUAUCUAUCAUGGAAAAGGAUAAUUUUUUUAAUUUUUGUACUAUUUGUUUUGAUUUUUUAUCUCAGAGUGGGCAGAUGAGUGGGCUCAGAAGUGGAUUAUCGUAGAUGUUUAGUCAUCUAGUCCUAUUUUUGCCGGAACCUUUUUGAUUACUUUUUCAGCUCUGAGCGAGCUUGUACUGGACCGCAGACCUUUCGGAUACUUUGCUUAAUAAAGGGCUGCAUGCGUCACUCUAAUGUAGAAGUCGGGGGUGAUCCUCCUUUUUUAAAGAAAAAACAGAGUACGGACACCAGGAUAGAACAUGUGUCCUGGAUACUAUGCAGAAAGAACCCCAUUUGUAUCAACUGGUGAGACUCGUGUAGCUUAUGCUUAGAGCUGUUUUGGGAACUGAUGGUGGUUACUAGCUAGAAGCCUACGGUCCUAUACUCCUGUUGUUUAUUUCGUGGACCUGUCUUGGUUGUAGUUUCCUUGAGAGAUGAAAUUAGGAGCAGGAAGUGUUAAAGACACAAAUUAGCAAGAGGAUGCUCUCUCGCUGAAAACAAAAUCAAAUUGUACGAAUAAAAGCCAAAGCAAAGCAACCAAAGGGACAAGAGAAAUGACAGCACGUUCAACCAAAUAGUCAAUGAAUCUAUCACUUGUAUCAGUGUGAAAUCACUUUCAUCAAUAUGCUUUUGCUGAAAUUUUGUAUGCACCUUGAUAACAUGUUUUUUGGUCUUCCAAACUGAGGCUGCGAUUUAUCAAGGCUAAAAGUGGAAAGUAAUGACUACUAAACAACAGAUGUGUUAUAUAGCCAUUUUGUUUAGCCUGACAUCUUUUGAUAAUAUAUUCAAUACAUAUAGGACAGAAGAACCAUCAUUUCAUCGCCCCUCUAUCUCAGUCAGAGUAAAACUAUUCACAGAGUUCUGAAUAUCAUCUCCAAUUUGCAGCGUUUCAAUUCUUCGCCGCGCAAAGUAGGCAGGGCGACUGGGGGCUGGAAGUGUGGUGCUUCCAUUCUCUAGGAUAAACACGACUAAUGACAUGAGGGGUCUGUCAUCUGGGUUCUCUUGGACACAUAACAGUGCUAUGUGGAUACAAAGCAAAACUUCAUCUAGUGAACAAGUAUCCAUGAUAGAUGAGUCUGGCAGUUUCUCUGUCUUCCCUUCCUUCCACAUAUUCCAUGACUGAAACAACCAAGAACAUCAUAUUAUUUUUCAUUUUGUAUGUCAAACUAAAAAUUGUUUCAGAAACUCAUGCACCUACUAAAUGGAACUCGAGGGAAGUCUUAUAUGUACUUACAUAGACUAUGAGGCUAGGGAAUCCCAUGGUUUGAUUACUGGAAUUUCUCCUUAUACCGGUUACGACCUCCAAUACUAACACUCCAAAGCUAUAGACGUCGGACUUCGUAGAGAAGACACCCUCCAUUGCGUACUCAGGAGCCAUGUAACCACUGCUUGUCAUUUCAAUUGCAGCAGUUACCGAGUGGGUGUUGAAUUGAUUGAAAACUUAGUAUGAGUGUUUCACAAUGCAUACUUACUAGGUUCCGACAACACGUUGGGUAUUCGCAUUUUGUUGGUUAUCUCCGAAGAUCCUUGCCAUACCAAAAUCCACUAUCUUGGGUUUCAUCUCUGCAUCUAGCAAAACAUUUCCAGCUUUAAGAUCCCUAUGAAUUAUGGUCAGUCUUGAAUCUUCAUGUAGGUAAAGAAGCCCCCUUGCGACCCCUUUGAUUAUAUUAAAUCGUGUCACCCAAUCUAGCAACAUUUUUCUUGAACCAUCUGUAAACAUAGCUAUAAAAAUGUGAGCAAACUUGUUUUUGAGUUGUUUUAUGAAAUAGUGUGUUGUUAGAAUUUGUACCAAAAAGUGUAGCAUCUAGGGCCAGUUCUUUUGGGCGGCUUAAAAAAUAAGCUGCCUCUCCCCAGAUUAAAAAAUAAGCCGCUCCCAAAAUUCAUGCAGACUUCUAGAUUAGUAAUCCCAUAACUAGUUCAGAAGCCCCAAUAAAUAAGGGAGGGGGCUUAUGACAAAAGCUAGGGAGGAGGCGGCUUAUUUUUAAGCCGCCAAAAGAACUGGCCACUAAGCUUUUGUUAGGGAGGUACUCAUAAAUCAACAACUUUUCAUCUCCUUCUGCACAACACCCGAGAAGUUGAACCAAGUUUCUGUGUUGUAGUUUGGCAAUUAGAAUUGCUUCAUUCUUGAACUCCUUUGUUCCUUGUUGAGAAUCCCUACUUAGCCUCUUGACAGCAACUUCUUUCCCACCUAACAACCCCUGGAAAAUUUUAAGUUAAGAUCAUGAUUUAUGUUUGUUAUGUGAACCACUCAAUUUUGUUGAUUUAUAAGAAUAUUAGAAAAACUACUAACGAUUUACCUUGUAAACUUUUCCAAAGCCUCCUUGUCCAAUCACACAUGCUUCAGAGAAAUUGUGUGUUGCGAAGGCAAUUUCCUCAAAUCUUACAAAUGGGAAAUCACGGUCAUGAGAAAGGUUUCCUUCACUAAGUUCGUAAGAGGUACUCAUACCAUCCAAUGAUACAUUCCUCCGUUUUCUCCAUUUUUCUCUCUUGCCUGCUUCCACAAUGUUAUAACCCCUAAUAAGUAUCUUAGAUGCAAAAAUAAUCUAUACUUCUAUACUACUAUUAAAAGAGCAAACUUAAGUUCUCCUAAAACCACACAGCAAACUGUACACAAGGUAACCAGAACCCUCGGAUCAAAUCAACUUAAACAUAUCUUACCGUCAAUAUUACGCCGGUAAUUUGUUAGCCAGAUCGACGACUCAGAUGAAAUGUUCUGCCAGCAGACGCCCGUGGUCUGCCUAUCCUCAUAGCGCUCCGCACUCUCGAUCCGCACGGCCCCGCCCAUAACGCGGAUAAAAUCCACCUGAAUCGCGUUAAUGACAUGUUUAUCCCGCUAUUUUCUCUGCCCCAGUCCUUUCCAUCUUCCCAAAUUCCCCAAAUUGCGUCGUCCCCAUAGUCCCGUCCACCAUAUCACCUCCAAGCGAUCCCAGCGCCACCGAUCUCCCGUGCCGCCACCACCUCCGCCGCCUCCUGGACAAGAGGCCACCACCAUUGAGCACCACUUCGGCGCGCCUGGUUGCCACCGCGACUCUGGCCUUGGAAGGUCGUCCUACUGUCCUGGAUCGGGGAGGAGGCACGAUUUGGAUCUGGGCGGCGACGGCUAAGCAAGGGCACCUGUGCUAUCGAGGUACAUCUCUUCCCACUCUCCCCGCCUCCCUCUCUCUUCCCCGCCGGGGUCGCCGUGAGCCCGUGACCGUGGACUGGCGGGGAAUGGGGAGCUUCGACAGUGAGGAACGGGGAGCACGGGUGCUCUGCUGGUGGAGGCAUGUUUUGGGACGGGGAGACCUUUGGCCGUGUGGAAUGAAGUGAGCUUUGGAUGCAAACUGAAUUUCAUCUCUCUCGGUUCUUGUUUUCUGCUGAUAGCACAUAAUAACAUUGGUAAUGUUGAGCCGACAAAGAGAAGUAGCAGACUAAUUUCUAUGUCGACAAAUGAUGAUUUGCUCCCCGUAUGUGGUUUCUGGUCAUAUUGGGCUAUGUGAAAAUUGGUUUUUCUCUGUAUUCUCCAUAUGACAUUAUUUUAUAAUCGCUGGAAUAUGAAAAUAGAAUGGUGUGCAGUUCUGCCCUUGUGAGCAAUCUCUGAUGCUUAUAUAUACUAGCAGUAACGUGUAGUAUUAGGUAUGGCAAAGUAAAUUUGCUUCAACAAUCAAUUCCAGCGCAGCAAUUUUUUUAUGGGAUUUCUCUUGCAAUCUGCACUGAAUUUUGUACGCCGAUGCCAGUUUGAUGGUUUUGCUUUGAAUGGUCUUCUCAAGGAAACCGUGUUCAAUUUGUAUGUUUUGCUUUGAACGAGUCUUUCUGGAAAUCUGUAUGUGUACUUAUAUGGCUGGUUGGAAUUGUGCAAAUUGUGAUGGUUUGCUUUCUAUGAGCAACUACUUGAAUGCUGAAAUUUUAUACAGUACAUAUCAUGUCAACAACAUGUAUCUCUUUUUAUUUCACAUGUGGAUAGAGAAGUUGCCAUACAUUGUUGUCCCCUUGGCAAUAUUAUGUAAUUCUCAAAUUAUCUUGCUAUCUUUGCUCAGUAGCAUUUAAUAUGACUAAUUUGAGAUCAGCAAAGAGGAAUGGGCCUGAAGAAAUACUGAUAUUGAGCUAGGUCUGCAAGGCGAUGUAUUGAGCUCUGCGUAGCCUUUGUAUGUGUUUUUGAUUCUCUUUCUUUUUAAACAUAGCCUGUAGAUGUCCUACGGUAUAUGUUAGCACAACUACUGAAGGAUUUGCAGGUGAGCAACUGUUAUAUGAGUUUGGAUGACAGAAUAUCACUAUUACAUCAAAAUCUACGGCUUUAUAUACUUUGUCACAUACUGCCAUAUUUCAUAUAUGACGACCAUAUCAAUCACGUGUUGUUUCUUUUUCAUUCAGAGUGUACAUUGCUUCCAGUGUAACAAGAACAGAAAAUAAGGUACUCUCUAAAUAAUGUGUGAGGAUUCUGAUUCUGUAAUUUGUUUUACUGUUGCUAACUGAGCAUGCUUACAUAAUGGGAUGGUUUGAGUGGAGUUUCAAAGUCAAUCGUCCAUGUUUGCAGUCUCAAGUUACUAUAUGUAUAGUCUGAGACCUAAUAAGUACUGAUCAUUUCAGAAAGUUUCACGUUUCAUACUUAUAAUUGAUACUGAUUGUAUUCAUGUAAUUGGGCCACUUGAUUAUAGUGAUUUUCUAACUAAUAAGUAAGAUGUCCCUGGUUCUGCAUAAAGAUUUAGGCACCCUAAUUUCUUAAGUCUUUGUGGAGUCAGAAGUUUUGAAUGUUUUUGUUCAGAGUCUUUUUGAAAUGAUGAGUGAUGCAUACCUAUUCAGUGUUUUACAUGGUACUGCAAGUGAAGAAAUGAUUUGUACUGAACCAUCUAAUGUGUUAUUGCGUUUCUUUGAAGUCAUGAAUUUGUAGCAAGUGACGCCCUCAUUGGCAUUAUUUUUCUUACAUAUCCAAGAUAGUUAAAGCAUCGUGGGGACCAGGAGGCCAAGCAGUCUGUGGUGUCUCCGUCGUUGUUGCAAAGAAACAUGCCCAAACUUGUAAGCCCAUAUUGGUAUUACUUUCCAUGAAUAACAGUGAUCUGUUAAGAAUUUAUCUGUUAUCUUGCAACAACCAACAAAAUAUAUAUUUAAGAAUGAUCUGUUAUCUUGCCAUGAAUAACAGUGAUAAUUUUGUUGUUGACUCAUGUUAUAUCCUCACAAAUAAAGUGCUACAGGGAACUUUCUCUAUCGGUUCAGGUUGGACGAGCAAGACAACAUACUGCAGACUGGGAACAAGGUGAGAAGAUUAGAUGCAAAUUUAUGUAGCAUAUGUACAGCUACAUUUGUUAAUCUCCUUCUCAAUUUUUCCUUUUUCUUUGCAGAGUAUGUUCGUCAUCAUUGAUAUGUGUUAAUACUCUCCUUGAGAUUGAUUCCUUUGCUUUCGCAAAAAAGCGUCAGAUACAUGGCGAGCUUCAAAAUAUCAGGUUGCAAAUACCAUCGUUGCUUUGGACCUUGCCAUGGAUGGAUGGACACUAAAUGACCACAAAUGCCUCUAGAUUAUUAAUAAGCGUGGUUCUACGUUCAGUGCUUUGGGCAUCUGUUUUGUCUCGGGCUGGUUCUACGUACCUGAUUUUGCUUGGAACAGCCACAGGGGCGAGGAUGUUAUAUUGAUGCAGCUUGGUUUGCUAACUAGCAAUGUUUUGUUUCUUAGACGGACAAACUUGUAUCUCAGAACCUUGAUGAAUUGUUUCAUUUGAUCAGCUUAUGUGGAAACUACUAAUUUUCAUUGCCUCUGUACACACACUUGCAUACCCUUUUUCCUGGUGCUUAUUGGCAAUGGCCCAUUCAUAGGCAUGACCUAGAAGAAAAUAAGAUUGAAGAUGUAUUUUUCUUGGUUGGAAAUAUUACACCCCAAAUUUAAUUCAGUUUGGAUACAACAAUGACUAUUAAGAUUGAAAAAACUGAUGAAUUAUGUUAGUUAUACAGUUUAAGAGGUCAAGGAUGUGAUAUAUGAGAAACAAUUUUGUCCGUUACACAUGAAUAUCUGUAUGGCACUGUGUAUGCUGGCGAGAUGUGUGAGAUGUUGGUCAUAACGUUGUGGAUUCUGGCGAGAUGUUUGUGAUGACGUUGGUUGUCGAGAUGCACUAACUAGGGGUGCAUGCAUGGCCAUAGGCCAUAAUUAAAUUUUCAUAAUGGACUAAUUUUCUGUCGGUUAGUUAAUGAUCAAUGGUAUUAGCUAAGCAAUGGACAUGGGCAUGUUCAUUUAUAAAGCACAAUGUUUUCAGUCAUUUGUACAAGUUAGGAAUUAUAUGCUUUUUGCGUGAGAUUUCAGCUGUUCAAAAAGUAGAUUUAUGUUGACAUAAUUAUUAUAAGUUUCAUUGUAGAACAUAUUUAAUCGAGACGUGCGUGGCACGUGCAUACUUACUAGUACUCAUAAAUAGUUGUUUUGACCCCUCAAAUUGCUGAUGUUUGUCUACUAUUGACUUUACAGACUCACAAAACUAGAUCAAACAACCCAUGGGGCACUUCUAUCAAUGUGGAAAACUAUAGACUUAAUAUGACCAUGACUUGACAUUUUAGAUAAAGUACGCAUGCUAGAAGAAACACAAUUUCUCUCUGGUUGUUGCCCUUACCCCCAUUUUUGCCCGAUAUGCUUGUGUACGCACACAAUAAAAUGCAUUAAUUUUUUAAUCCAUAAUAUAGUGACCAAUCAUUCCUCUUGUUUUCUGAACCAUGUCCAUGUUGAGUAUGAUUUCUGGCAUGUGGACUCCCAUCUUAUGGCAUGUUCUUGUUUAAUACAGUAAAAGAAUUGAUUCUUAGAAUAUCACUACCCCUUACCCUAAAAGUUAACUCCAUAUACCAUACCUCCAAACUUAACUCCUCAAAAGUUGACGGGUUCAAUUUUUGUGCACAGCCCUUCCCUGAAUAUAACUCACUUUUGGGUGGGAUAGGGCUAGGAUUGGGAGGGAGCAACUUUUUCUCAAAUAUAGGCAGAAUUUGCUCCUCCCUAAACUUAUCUCGUCAUAUUUGAAGGAGUUACACAUUUUAUAGGAAGUUUUAGAUAGUGUAACCCUCUAAAGAUAUUUGUUUUUAGGGAGUAACAGUUGUAUAUAGAUAUUUGAGGCCUGGAUAUGCUCCAAGGGCAGCCUUUUUUAUGGUGGAGGUGAGCCUAACACUACAAGAAACCUGUUAAUUCAUGACGGAUUCCUGAUGACAUUUUCAGAUUCUGUCAUGAAUGAGUUGGUACAGCCCCGCAAGCCCGCCGAAGCCCACUAAAGCCCGGCUAAUUGUUCCCCGUAUAAAAACCUAACCCUAACACCCUCCUCGCCCCCUCCCUCCGCCGCAGCCUCCUCCCAAUCCCGCAUCGUCUCCAACACAUCGCCCCCAACUCGCCGCCUCCCUCCUCCCGCAGUUCACCGCCGGCCCUCCCCUCCCCUCCUCUCACCUCACAGCUCUGGCGGCUCCUAGCUCUACCACAACCCCCACCCAUCUCUCUCUCCCUCCCUUCUAUGAACCGUUCAAGUUGGAAGGUAGGAGUCUUAUAGCUUUUAUCCUAGAACCAGUUCAAGUUGAAGACUCAAGUCCCAUGCUGAGUAAAAUAAUCUAACGGGCCAAUAUGUCAGUUAUGAGAAGUCGUAGCAGUCCAGAGAAACUGAGGAAAUUGCAGACGGAAAGAAAUCAAUGGCCACUUUAUAUUAUUCUGUACAAGGUGGAAGGAGCCAAACCUUUAGAGGCAACCAGGAAACUUAGUCACCAUUUGCUUAGAAAACUUAGCUCAUAACAUGCCCCUAGUUGCUACUUCCUCUAUUCCAUAUUUAUUGAAGUUAUAUUUUUGUCCUUAGUCCAAAUUUGAAGUUCAUAAUAAAAUUUAUUUUUAUACUAUGCAUAUUUAAUGUUGCAGAUGUUAGCAUAUUUUCAUACAGACUUGAUCACAUUUAAAGACUUGACUGAGCACAAAAGUUGAACUUCAUUUAAUCUGGAAUGGAGGAAAUAGCUUGAAUAUUGUCCAUUGCCGUCACAUCGUUUGCAAUGGAUGUCGGUUAAACCAAUCAUUAACUCACCUAAGUGUUUUUUCGCUCUACUUUGUGUGGGUUCAAUGAUUUUUAGUCGAAGGACACAAUAUAGAAGUAGACACCAAACUGUGGUAAGUAAAUAUGGAUUAUCACAUAGCGGAAUAGUAAGUUUACCUUUGAGUUUUAACCAUGCCAAUGAAGUGCAUACAAAUAGCAGAAAACUGCUUCCUAAAACUGGCAGCACAAUCUUCAGAACAUUCCUCUUUGUUCCUUUACCUGCAAAAUACAUAAAUUCAUACAUAGCAUAAAAAAUAACAAUCAUAGCUAGUAGAGAGGGAGGGAUUUGGCACCAGAUGAUGUUGCGUCCAAGCCUGCAGGUCGGAGAUAGAGUGUGUCGCUACCGUGCUCUUCGCCUAUUUUCCCAGUGUCAACCAAUUCCCCAGACCACACCAAGCACCUCGUCACGUCUCCCCUGGACCUGCCGCUGCCAAGGUUGGCAUACGCGUACGCCACACACGAGCAGUUGCGCUUGCACUCAGCCGCACACUCCUCGAACGUACUCGUGCCCCCGCCGACAAUUGAAAAUCUGUCAGGCGACUUCAUCCUUGACAGGGCCAAGAAGCCGUCGGUGCACCCUUGCAGUGGCUCUUUUCGCCGGCACCCUGCUGAAAAACUACCAUUGGUCCAGUCCAUCAUGUUUGCCGGCUCGAAGCCAUCAAAGCACUUGCACGUCGGGAUUGGCGCUGCUGUCUCAUCGCAGUAGCCAUAUGUGCCACAAUAACCAUACCGGUUGCAUUCGGGGGAUGGCCACUUCCCGAGGACUAACCACGUCAAUGUUUUGCUAUUCCAACUCUGGACUAGGUACUCUCCGGAGUAGGUCAACACGUACCUGGUGUGUGGGGCGCCGUCGGAGAGGCUGUAGGUGAUGUAGAUCUCCUCGUCGCUGUCCACGACGGCUAGGUAGAUGAUGAUGUCCGCGCUGGUGUUCGCCUGCUGGCAUCGACGCUCGCUCUUCACCAGGUACCCUGUCCAUGGCCCGCUGCGUGAAAUCGGGCGAUCCCCAUCCCAAAGAAUUACUUGGAGGAACGUGAUUGGAUCGCCGCCGUAGGAGAAGCGCCCCGACGAAGGGUCGCCAGGGCCCUUCCAAGAAACCAGACGGUCACUAGUGCCAGGCUUGUUGUACCGGAUCCGGAGCUUCAUGCCAGGGAGGAACGUGUCGGUUGGAUGGUCAAAGCUCUGCCAUAACGUGGUGCCGUUCGAUGACCGGAUGACGAGGUUGCCGUUGUUCAGAAGCACUGCCACAGGGGGAGACGAUCCCAUGGGAGUAGUCACGUUAGUCGUCAUCCAAACGGCACGGCCACUGCCAUCACCGUCGGAUAGAACAAGAUUGGAGGUGUUGGUGAGGAAGAGCAUCAGUGUAGUCGUGUUGGUGGCCGGAGUUUCUCGGUUGGCGACCCACACGGUGGUGAGCUCAGGAACAUCAUUGUACCAUAUGCCGAGGUACAGUCGGGCUGGAGUGCUGGAGUUGGAAGGCGAGAAGAAACCUAAGGCGAAAGCACCGCCGUCGGAGACGAUGGUGGAGUUUGGGGAGAGCGGCUUACCGGGGACAAGCCGGUCGUCGGAAGCACUCAACGGCAAGAGGAUGAGAAGGAUCAGAACUGUAGUGCUGGUGCAGCAUGGGGGAGCCGGCCAAUUCAUCGGUAGCUAGUAGGCCAUUCUAUUGGUGGUGCUAAGAUGGUUGGCUUGCAUCGAGCCUUGCUCACAAAGUCACAAGCAAAAAACAAAAAAAUAACGAGAGAACGACUUGUCAUAACAGACAUCUCGGCUGAGGAUUGAAUAAUGCAAAGCUUGUGGAAUUUUGGUAGAUUGGCUUGGGGUAGUUGAAUGUGCGUUGGAUGGAGUUGACAUCUGAGCUG